UCUGAUCAUUUUGGAACCUAUAGGCGGAACUACAGGUGAAAGUGACACUGCAAGCUGAAUGAGGGACGGUAAUGUACUGAUGGAGAGGCCUAGAAAGGAACGUAGGCAAACGAGCCAAUAAGGAACAGACGCAUUCGCUAUCCACAGCUUUCAUCCACCUGCAACAUUCGUCUUCUGCAGGAGUAGUUUCUUGAUACCCAAGGCUUGAAGGAGAUGACAGUAGUGAUGAGUGCGCGAGUGUAAAUGCUGGUGGAGUUGGUGGAGCAGGUGGAGUUGGUGGAGCUGGUGGAGCUGGUGGAGCAGGUGGAGAUGGUGGAGGCAAAGGGGUAUAUGGCAAAUUUUGACAUGCAUGGUUCACAAGUGUAAAUUGGGAGAGACAAAGUGGACGAGGGACAAUAGAAGGAUUAGGCGCAAAUUGACUGUUUGAUCCUCCUAGGUGAAUUAUUACUAGGAGUAACAAAGUUGAAACCAUUCCUUGGAUCAUGUUCAUUUUGCUUAUGCUUCCUUCUUGUGUUUGUUCACUAAUAGCAAUACAUGUCCAGCAUUAAUCGUAUGUUAGUCUUAUAUAAUGACAAGGUUGCAUUCAUAAUCUUUAUAUGUUCUCUCAUUGUUAGGUAGUAUUUCUUUUUUCUGGUUUAGCAAGCAAGUAAAGAGGAUUAAAGCGGGGUGAGUACAACUCAUUCUUUUUAUGUUAACAACGCUUCUUCUAAUCAGCUAACCAUAAAUUAAUUAGUGGGUACAAGAAACAAUCGACACAACUAAAAACAUCCUAACUGGACAAAUUGAUCAGUGAAAGUUUUACAAAUUGAUCAGUAAAAGUGCAAAUUGAAUAUGUUUUACACUCAUCAAGUUUAACAUGUUUUAAGUUUUGUGCAACAUAUAUCAUGUAAAAGUCUUUUACACAAUUAAAGUUGCAUGGUAAUUGCAAAUAAUAUCUUUCUUCGCAAAUAACAGUUUUAAUACAUACAUAUCUAUUAAACCUUAACAGAAUUCUUGAUUUCAAGGUUGUAUAUCUAGAUUACACUUUUACAUGUAUAGUUAAACCCAGUGCCCGAAAUUAAAGCUGACAUACAGCAGCAAAAUAACGAAAUAAGAUGUAUGAUUAAGGUAGAAAUUAUUUAUUAUUAAUGCAUCUCCCAAAACUGUCGAAGUCACUGGCCUACAAUUAUCAGAUGUAUAAAUUCAUGCCCAACUUGCUUGCUUAUUGUCUUUUUUUCUUAUCUAAUAUAUAUAUAUAUAUAUAUAUACCAAAACAGUUGUAUAUUUCAAAACAGUGGUAUAUUUCAAUAAUAGUAUAUAUUUCACUUGUAAAAACAGAUAAAAACAAUGAAUAAUGAUUGAUUUAGUAUAUCAGUUUGUAAAAAUCUACUCAGUACUCCCUCUUUACUACCGUUUCUUCAUGUUUAUCAUUCUUAUAAUUUAUAUUUUCCCCAGAGUUUUUUUUUUUUUUUACUUUACCCUGUUCAUCUCUUCCUCUUAAUCUAUGUUCUUAAUAUCGUACUUCUUUAACCACACCCCGAAAAAUUUUGAUCUGGCAGCUAACACUCGUCCUUUGUCUAUUUUGCAGACCUUUUGGACUAACAGGGCCAGAAUUCCUAGGAAUUUACAGGUUAAUCCAUCAUUGAUAUUAAGAAAUUAAGAGGCUAACCAUAUACUGAGGGUAAUAAUUUUAUAGAUAACUUAAUUUACAUGAUUUACAAAAACUAUGUAAAAUGACUUAAAACAUAGAUAUAAGAACAGUGAGUAUAGAUAUUUUUGGGGGGAAAAUAUGUAAAUAAGAACUUACAUGAAGUAACUAGGAGAGAGGUUUCCCUUUCGGGAAUCCCCUAAAGAUUGAAUAGAAAACUUGAAGCUUUUAUUUAAACCACAGUGAUACAGAGUUUAUACAAGAACGACUGGCUUUGAUAAGAUUUUUGGGAGGAAGGGUUUAAACAUUUCAAGUAGGUUUUGAUAGUUGGUUAAUUUCACUCUGUCUUCCUACUACAACAUGUGCGCCUUUUAUAGGCAAAAUGUACAUAAAGGAGAGGUUUUAAGAGCUACUACGUGGCCGUAACACAAUUGGCCGACACUUUUAGAUAAGGGAUAAGAAAGAAAACUUUAAUAAUGCAAGUCGGGUACUCUUUGGGCCCCAUCGUCACAUGCGUUAUUAAUUUUCUUUCAAACUUAUUUUGACGCGUGCUUCAACAGUUUUUCUUUCUUUUGGAAAGUAGUGAUAAAGGAAGCACUCUGACUCUGACUAUUACAAGACAUAAAGUGGGCAUCCCCACUUGACCAUGCUAACUAAUAAUACAAAUUGUGAGAACUGUAGAUUAUCUUUACGUAUCCAAGUUGUGCAGGGCUAUGGAGUCGAAGCUCAUGCCUGAGUCGUCGUCUUCAUAUGGAUCCUGAGCAUCCUGGAAUUGUGCAAUAUUAUCUUCUUCGUCUGAUCUAGCAGAAUUAUUAUCUGUAGUAUUUAUCUCUGGCACAACUCUGUCUAAAUUAGUGGGUUGUUCGUCUGGUUGUUCAUCCAUGUAUUUAUCUUGUGUCUGUUUGCUGAAGAAUCUGUCUAGAGUCUGUUUAAUUAUUGUCUCUAUUGUCUCGUUUUUUCUCUUAGAUAAUAAAGUCUUCUUUAAAGUCCUAUGUCCAGAUUUCGUCAAUUUAGCUUUUGAUGAAGAACACCCUUCAUCCUCACUUUUUGGCAAAGUGACAGCCAUUAACGGAUUUGAUUUGUCUUUACCGGUCACCGUUUGAACCGGACUAGCUGUACCAACAUCCGGUACAGUGGAUUUCUGAGCAUUUAUUGGGAAAUAGACACUCUUCUCAUCCAUUUUUUGAGGAGAUGGAGAACUCUGAGCUGGAGUCUGAGUUUGUGCAUCUGUUUUGCUAACUGAAGUCUGCUGUCUGAGUUUUGUUUCUAACAUUUGUAUUUGUUUGAUCAGUCUAGUGUUUUCCAUGAGGAGUGAUUCCUUUUGGGCAUUUAGCGUCUUGAAGUUUUCCGUCAUUGAAGAACAAUGGUUGCAAAAAAUAAUCUUUCCAGUCUCUUUUUGCAAAUUAUACUGGGGUAUCUGGUCUGGAUUUUGUCUAAGGGAAGAAGAUAUAUAAUAAUUUGGCCCUAAAUAUCCUCUAGCAUGAUAAGUGGCUUCGGUAAAAUCAUUAAAACCUUUAAAAAGAAGGGCUUUAAAACCUUGUAUGGAGUCUAAUACUUCUAACCAUGUUUGAAAAAUUCCGUUAGUUUUUCCAUGAAUGACUACAUAGUAUUUAAAAUGAGGCCUACUUUUUUCUGCCAUGUAAUGGCAUAAAGAGUUCAUAGAUGCCAUAAAGUGAUUACGGUUUUGCCUAUUAUAAGAGAUCCAGAGGUUAUCUACUAAACACCUUUGGGGUCUGUCUAAAAUGUAAUCUGGUCUUACUCUAAAGGAUAUAUUGCUCUCAGGGUAUGCUAUUAAAUUAAAUGGUCCGAAAUGAAUUCUUUCCAUUGUCUCGAGGGAUUCUAGUGGUCUAAAAUUUAAGUUACCUAACAUUGUCUGUUGAUAAGAUUCUGAAGACGAAGCUACGCCUUUGCCUUUGUCUGCAGGAAGUUGUCAUGUUGGUCUCAUGCUGAAAACAACUCAUGCUGAAAACAAAUGAGUAAAAUUAAACUUAUUUAUUUAUUCCCAGUUGUAGUCUACUUAACUGGUCAGCUAAUGCGUUUUCUUUUCCUUUUAUAUGUUCGAAUACUAUAUUCUUAUAGACAGAUAUGAUAUCUGUAAAAUUUAACCAUCUUCUUCUACUACUAGUUUUGUCAUUUAUUUUUUGAUGGAACUUAACUAUAGCUUCACAAUCUGUUCUAACUAAAAUCUCGUCUUUAUUUAGUAUAUAUAAUUUGAAAGCAUUUAAGCCAUAUAUGAUAGCUAAUACUUCUAAGUCUAUAGCGCUCAUAUUUCCUUUUUCUUUAUAUGCGCCACUCUGAUAUCCACAUAUUUGUUCUUCAUUUUUAUUACUGUAUUUAUUAGGUCUUGAUAGCUCCCCAUCCUAAAUCACUUCCAUCUGUUUGUAUAAUUAAAUAGUCUGAUUCUAGUGGAAUUUUUAGGUCUGAGAUAUUUUUAAUUUUUUCUUUUAUUUUUUGGACUAACUUAACGUCUUCUAUAUUAAAAUUUUUCCGUCCCUUACUACCUGUCUUUGCAUAUAAUGGUCCUGCUAUUUUUCCUAAAUCUUGAAUAAAAUUUCGUGCAUAAUUUACUAAUCCUAAGAAUUUUUGUAAAUCUUUUGUUGUUUCUAAUUUGUCUGGCAUUUCUAAUACCUUAUUUGCUAUGUGUGGUUGUAGUUUUACUUUUCCAUUUCCUAGAGUUAUUCCUAGGAAAUUAAUAUAAGUCUUGCAUAACUCCAUCUUCUUUUUACUUAUUAUUAUGCCAUGUUUAACAAAUAGUCUGAAGAUUAUUUGUAAGUGUCCUAAAUGUUCUUGCAUAGUUUGACUAAAUACCAAAAUAUCAUCUACAUAUACUAAUAUAAAAUGUUUAUAUUCUCCAAAUAUGUUAUCCAUUUUUCAUUGAAAAAUGGGCGGAGCUGUCUUUAAUCCAAANNNNNNNNNNNNNNNNNNNNNNNNNNNNNNNNNNNNNNNNNNNNNNNNNNNNNNNNNNNNNNNNNNNNNNNNNNNNNNNNNNNNNNNNNNNNNNNNNNNNNNNNNNNNNNNNNNNNNNNNNNNNNNNNNNNNNNNNNNNNNNNNNNNNNNNNNNNNNNNNNNNNNNNNNNNNNNNNNNNNNNNNNNNNNNNNNNNNNNNNNNNNNNNNNNNNNNNNNNNNNNNNNNNNNNNNNNNNNNNNNNNNNNNNNNNNNNNNNNNNNNNNNNNNNNNNNNNNNNNNNNNNNNNNNNNNNNNNNNNNNNNNNNNNNNNNNNNNNNNNNNNNNNNNNNNNNNNNNNNNNNNNNNNNNNNNNNNNNNNNNNNNNNNNNNNNNNNNNNNNNNNNNNNNNNNNNNNNNNNNNNNNNNNNNNNNNNNNNNNNNNNNNNNNNNNNNNCUUUCUCCUAUUAUCUCCAUUUUGUCUAAUAUAGAUAUUAUAUUUUCUAAAUCUUUUGGACUGUUUAUUAUUCCUAUUUUAUCUAUUCCUUUUCUAAAAUUAUAAAACUGAGUUUCUAUACUUAUUAGGGUAUAUUCCUUUUCUAUAUUAGUUAAACAUUCUUGUCCCGCUGCAUUAAGCAGAGUAUAGUUUCUAACCUCUUCCAGAUUUUCUUUUAGUAGGUUGCUACAUUGAUUAUUUUGGCAAUCUUCGCAACAUGACUCUGGAAGCGAUUUCUUUUUACUUGUAUUUAGGUUUCUAAAUACUGUAGGCAAUGUUACUGUUUGUACUGGUGUAUAAGUUAAAUCUUUAAAGAGCAUUAUUCCAUCUCUUGUUAAGAGACAUCCUCCUUUAUUCUGUAUACAAAAUCUUAGUCCUAUUACAAAAUCUGAUCCUAUAUUUAAAUCUCUUGCUAAUAUUAAAUUAACAUUGUAAACUGAGUUAUAGAAUUUAUUGCAUGUAUUUAAGAAGCUUAUUUGUGCUUUUUCUAUGUAAUACUUAUAGAUAUUUUGUGAUCCAUCCAUUUGAGUGGCCAUUAUAGGUCUGUCAAGUGUCUUUAAUAAGUGUUCUGGUACUAUUUCUUUAUUGAUUAAACAGCUAGUACAUCCUGGAUCUAUUAAUGCUAGCGUUUCUAUUUCUACAUCUUUUAUUUUAAUUUUUACUAAUACUUUUAUGGUAGAGAAUUCUUUAUCUUCGUUACAUAUUAAACCAGUGCUAUUAUCUUCUAGAUUCAUAAGUUCUGCUUCUAAUUUUCCUAAAUGUACCGCUUCUUGUGUAUCUGUUUCUUCUAUGGAGAUUUUUGUUUUUCCUUUUUCUAGAAUAGUGAAUCUGUGUUCUAGAUCAUUUAAUCGGGUUUCUAAAGUGGACACCCUUGGGUUUAGGAUUUGAUUGUUUGUAUAUUUUUGUCCGUUAUUUAUUUCUGACUCUACUUUAAUUUUUAGAGUGUUUUCUAUACAAUUUAUACAUGUCUCUAGGUAACAUUUUUUACAUUUAGCUCUGUUGUCUUUACUUGGAUACCAAUUACAAAUACGACAUCUAUUACUAUCUAGACCUUUAUUUCUUUGAAAUUCAUGUAUACAUUCUUGAGUAAUAUUCAUUAAAUUAUUAAUUGUUAGGUUGCUUAAGUCUAAAUCCUCUAUUUCUUGCCCUAGCUCAUUAACUAAGUUAUCUUCGUCUGAUUAGGAAGAAUCAGAUUUUAGAUUAUCUUUAUCAUUUAUGUCAAUGCUUAUUAUUGAGUAUAUACUUUCUGUAUCUGACAUGUAUUCGUCUACAUUUAAUAAAGUCUCAUGGAAAUCUUCUAUUAGUUGAGAGUUUCUAGUUCUAUUAUUAUUUCUCUUAGGACAUACAUUGGCUAGAUGGUCUAUACUACCACAUGUAUAACAUUCUAAUUUAUGUUUACAAUUUCUAUCAUUUCUAUAUUUUCUAACAUGUCUAUCUCUAUUUAACCAAGGUUUUUUAGCCUUUGACUUUCUUAAGAAGUAUUGUUUUCUACUAUAUGGUUUCUGAUUAUUUCUUUUCUUAUAUUUUUUAUGUUGUUUUUNNNNNNNNNNNNNNNNNNNNNNNNNNNNNNNNNNNNNNNNNNNNNNNNNNNNNNNNNNNNNNNNNNNNNNNNNNNNNNNNNNNNNNNNNNNNNNNNNNNNNNNNNNNNNNNNNNNNNNNNNNNNNNNNNNNNNNNNNNNNNNNNNNNNNNNNNNNNNNNNNNNNNNNNNNNNNNNNNNNNNNNNNNNNNNNNNNNNNNNNNNNNNNNNNNNNNNNNNNNNNNNNNNNNNNNNNNNNNNNNNNNNNNNNNNNNNNNNNNNNNNNNNNNNNNNNNNNNNNNNNNNNNNNNNNNNNNNNNNNNNNNNNNNNNNNNNNNNNNNNNNNNNNNNNNNNNNNNNNNNNNNNNNNNNNNNNNNNNNNNNNNNNNNNNNNNNNNNNNNNNNNNNNNNNNNNNNNNNNNNNNNNNNNNNNNNNNNNNNNNNNNNNNNNNNNNNNNNNNNNNNNNNNNNNNNNNNNNNNNNNNNNNNNNNNNNNNNNNNNNNNNNNNNNNNNNNNNNNNNNNNNNNNNNNNNNNNNNNNNNNNNNNNNNNNNNNNNNNNNNNNNNNNNNNNNNNNNNNNNNNNNNNNNNNNNNNNNNNNNNNNNNNNUGUAUCCCACAUUUGGGGAUCAUGUGCUGCUAUAUUUAGAAUUUUACCUUUACUUCCUCUUUCUUGUAGUUUAAUUGGUUCUUCUAUUGGCAUUCUUUUACCUGCUGGUUUUAUAUGAUCUCCCCUAAGUUCUGUAUCUGGGUUUAUUCUAAUUGCUGGUCUUCUAGGUACAUUACCUGUACUAUAAUCGUUUAGAGUUUGUUUGUUGGAAUGGGCUAGCACUUGAGGAGCUAGUUGGUUCUAAUUCUGUCAGUUCUUUAUAACUGAUGGUAGAACUUAAUAUAGAGAUUGUGUCUUCAUCUUUUCCUUUAAAGAUUGAUUUGUUAUUUCUAUAUCCUAAAUUAUCAUUUCUCUCUAAGCAAUUUUUAAAAUGUUCUACAUAUUCUUCAAUUUUCAUGUCGUCUUUUUGACAUCCUUUACAUUUAAAAGUUUUAUUUUUAUAUUCUUCCGCUAAACUUUCGGCCUUUUCUAUGACCAUGUCUACUUCAUAUCCUUCUUGUAGGAUUUCUAUAUUCAUAAACUCGCUUUCUGUUUCUAUAUUACUUUCUGUGUCAUCUUCGUCUAAACUUCUUUUAGUUGUGUAAUUAUAAUUUGUAAACCUGACCGAGGUUUCUCCUUUGCUUGUAGUAUAUAAUAGAUGAGAGUCUGGUGUAAAAAAUUUUGGUUUAGUAAAUUUAUUUAAAUUCCAUUCUAAACCUGCAUAUAAUUCAGGGUCUAUUUCGACUCGAUCAUCAGAUUAUAAGUUCAUAACCUUAACCCAUUACCAUUUUGGGCGGAACAGAUCUGCUAAUUCUUUGAUUCCAGUUAGUAAGAGGGAUCUUGAACUAAGAAAUAGACACUAGAAGCUAAAAAGGACUAUCCUGAGCAAUUGCAAUAAUCGGGUUCAUUGAUAUUCCUGGUGUAGUAGAUGCUAGCUAUCACACAUACAAUCAUACUCAAUUUGAUGAAAUUGUUUGAUCUUAAAGGGGAUCUUCUAUAAUUUCGCACGUGAGGGAUUAUUUCUUGGUUUUUCAUCAUUCCUUUUUCUACCAUUUUGUUCACUCGUUUCGAUGGAAAGGGAUUUAUAUGGAUGCAUUGACCCAGAGAAAACAGAAGUUGUACCUGCGUGUUGAAAAUACAAUUAAAUAAAUAAAUAUAUAUUCUCUCAAAUAAUUUAAGAGUUUAGAUGACAUUGCAAUGAGUUCGCGUUUGAGUUAUAUAUGAUAAAACAUCAAACUUCAUGCGAAGGUGUUAUAAGAAUACUUAAAUGUUAUAAUUAAUGAAAGGGAUUGUCCCAUAUGGCCUUUUUUUCAUUUGGCCCACUCUUUAAAAUUCCAACAUUUAACUUUAAUAAUUGUCAAUCUAACUGUUUAAAUUAUGGACAUAUGUAAUCGUGUAUAAUUUAUGCAUAUCAAUUAGGAAAAUCAAAAAAUACUUAAAAGACCUUUAAAUUUGUCUUUUCUUUGGAUUCGGUGGACUAAAUUUUUCCUUUAAAUAUAAUUGGAAGAUAUUUUUUUUCCAGACAAAUUUAGCCACUAGAUUAAUGGGGGUCAUAUUAUUUGAAGUGUGCAUGACCUCGGACCAAAAGGCCUUUAAUUUGUACGUUCAAAUGCCCCAUAAAAUUAUGCACUCUAAAUAGUUAGAGUAUUUAGUGUCAAGGGACAACACAAAUACAGCUAGCUUGUAAUUACUUAUAUUGCACAUUAAAGGAUUUUUUUUUUUUAGUGUAUAGAGGAUAUGGUCUGGCAUGACGGGUUAUAAUUUGAAUAAAAAUCAUAAUUACUAUAUGUAUAUUUUAUGUAUUUUAUUUUAUUUUAUUAAUUUCAUGUGUCAUAUUUUAUGGGUGUACUAAAAUAAGUUUACUUAAAAAAAAGAGGGUCGAAUCAUAAAAUAAAUAAGAAAAAUGCAGGCACCCGACAAUGCUAGAUGAAGCCAACGUGGCUCAAGGACAUGCAGAUUAAGAUGAUCAAAACACGAGGUUUAUAACUGUAACGUUCUUAAUUAAUGUGAGUAAAGUAAGAAGAAAUAAUGAUUAAAUACAUGAUUGAAUUAAAAUAACAAGACAAAUAAAAUGAAACGAGCUUGAGUUUCAGUAUUUGUAGCUGGUAGCGUUACCGAUGAGCUUGAGACUAUUAUUAUGCUUUAGAGUGAUGGAAUAAAAGAAUUUAAUAGCUUGAAGCAUAAAUAUAAUGCAAGUGAAUAAACAGGAAUACAAAUGCGAUCACUCCUUCCAAUCGAGAUAAGUGAGAUAUCAGUGCUUAUUGUUAUCAAUUGAGUCAAACUUAACUUAUCCUAUCUUUCGCGUGUCAUUUCCUAAUUCACCCAUAUAUCUAAUAUUGUUUUUACCCCAUGCAAUAACAUAAUUUUGGGGAAAGUUUGAAUAUGCAUGUCAAGCAUUAUGUUCUAACCAUUAGCUUAAAGUUGAUCCAAUUGACUUUAAUUAAGUUCUCUUCUACGACAUAUCUUGACUAAUAAUGCUCGAUAACAUUUUAUGUACAUUUAAUAAGUUACACGCUGAAAUCAAGACUUUGCAAAAUCAAGACUUUGCACCUUGAUCAUGGGGUUCAGUAACUGCAAGUUUCUCUUUUAAAUCGGCAACAAGUUGACUAAUCAAAGAAUGUGGUGCAGUAAAUGGAACUGCUCCUCCCUUAACCAGAGAUCUCGGGUUCGAGCCCUAGAUAUGAAAAAAUUCUUGGUAGGGAGCACUACACCCGAAUGGGGCCCUAUUCGGCACGAAUUCGAAUUAGUCGGACUCUAAUAUGGGUACCGGACAUCGAAUGAGAAACAUCGGAAAAAAAAAAAAAAAAGACUACUUUGAAAGUGAUUACAACUUAAAUGGCAAGUUGAAAAUUAGCAAGUUAUUGCAAUUCGUAGUUCCGACCAUUAAAAACAUGACACAGCCUACAUUUAGUUAAUUAGGCCUUGUUAUAUACUACCCAAGAUGUGAAGGCCCAUGUUCUAUGGGCCCAUAAAUAUGACGCCAUUGUAACAGGAGCUUAUGUUUUCGAAUAGUAACACUGGCGCUCCCUGCCCUAAACCCUAGCGUCUCUUCAUCUUCAAUUUUUGUGCUUUGAUCUAAGACCUAGCUUGUUUUCAAUUUCUUCAGCACAAUGAAGCUCGUCAGGUUUAUGCAAUUUCUUCAAUUUUUUUUUGUCUCUGUGAGUUUUUUUUUCCCUAGUGUGUGUAGCCAUGGUUUUAACCUUUAACUUUGUGUGCAGAUUUUUAAUGAAGCUGAACAACGAGACGGUCUCAAUUGAGCUCAAAAAUGGCACCGUUGUUCAUGGAACUAUUACAGGUCACUCUCUCUCUAUCUUUCUCGGUAUAUAUUUUGGAUAGAUACCUGUAAAAUCUAAGAUGAACAGUCUACACUUACGUAGUAGCUGAAUUGCUCACGCCUAUAUGUGAAUUAAAGUAUGUGCUUGUAUGAAUAUGAUUUUCUGGGUGGAGAAGUUAUUUUAAAUUGCUGAUAACCGAAAGUGUAGUUGUUGGGUGGGAUAUGCAAGUUGCUAAACUUGAUUUGUAAUGCCACACUUUAAAUUAGUUCAUAGAAGAUGAAUGGUAACUGUAAUAGCUUACUUCCAGCGUGGGUCACUAUGUAUGUCUAUAAAAUGCAUGAAAGCUAUGUAGAGAAGCUAUCAAAAUUAUAUGAGUUAACCUGUCUCGAUCUGUCUUCUCCCCUCUCCGUUCUUCUGAAUUUAUGAAUCUUUUCCCUUCUUAUCCUCUCUGAUCCGCACGUUUUGAUACAAGCCAAACGGCCAUCUUAGCCUUUGAUGCCAUCGUUCGAGGCCAACACAUGGAAAAUCUGAUUUUGGAAACUUUGAAGGCCCGAGAGUAUGCACGGGGAAGCCGUUGUGGGCACUCAAUAGGGCAAUCCCGUGUGUGUAAGGUUGCAUGGGGGCUUGCCUUGAUGCCCGAGAGCUACAAGUGUUGAAGUAUCAACCAUCCACAGUUGGAGCAUUGAAGAGGUGUCCAUUCAUUGGUGUCUUAACACUCCAAGACCGCCCCUUCAUUAAGGGUGUGUUGGUCAUUUUAUGUCCCUCCUUGACUCCAUAGGUGCCUCUUUCAUUAAGGGUAUGUUGUUAUUUUAUCUUCAUCUUAGGCUUAUUUUUCAGCUUAGUUGUUUAUUGAUAUUGAGAGAACUCAUCUCUUGAGAGAGUGUUAUAACCGUAACUAGGGUAGCACUUAGUGUGAAAUCACUAGUGUUGCAUUUUGGCUAGAAAUAUUGGUGUUUGAGGAGAGUGUGUUCCCUCUUGUGUCUACGUAAGAGCUUGGUGUUGAUUAUAUGAGUUGUAGGGGUUUUGACGUUUGAUACACGUCUUGGUUCUUAGGUUCUUGUAUAAUUUUAGGUCAAGUUACUAUCCUUUAUUUAUUGCAUUGUUGUUGUGUUUCGUAUCUUGUCUUCAUUAUCUCGUUUCUUUGUGUUGCUGCCUCAUUUGUUGUUAUCUUGUUUUCAGCUUUGUUCUUGUGUUUCGUGGCUGUUUUUAGUGUCCCGUACUCGUCUCUGUAUCAUUUGGUAUGAGAGCAAUGAUUGAUUUUGUUCCAAUAAAAUUAAUCUUGGGCUUGUUAACUCGAAAAUCACAAAAAAAAAGUGUUGAAAAAUUGAAAAUCCAAAAAGAAACAUUCUGUCUCGUUUUUAGUCUUUGGUCGAAAUUUUGAACUUAGAUUUAGGAGGUUUUUAUGUGUUUUGGUUGUUUCUAGUGUUAGCCCCUUCAUUACUAACACUAAAAGAGUCUAAAUCUAAGUUUGGAGUCAUUUCCAUGUUCUUGGAAUUUGAAGAUUGUUGUUGUUGUGGAUUUGAGUUGAACGUGUGUUGUUAUUGAAGAUGUGGGCUUGAAAACGUGUUGUUGUUAUAGAGUUCAACGUGAGCUAAAAGAGACAAAAAUCAUUCAAUUUGGAGCUCAUUUGGUUUGGUUUUCAUUCUUGAAUGUUCUUGUUGUUCUUGCUUCUUCAUGUUGUGUUGAAGAAGAAUCCUCAAAGGAGGUUGUUUGAUCUAAAAAUCAAGUGAAAGAAAGAUUGGUCUUUGUUUGUCUUGGAAACAUUUUCAAGACAAAAAGGUUUGACUUGUUUUGCACCUUUUUGGCAAGACAACCUUUUUGAGGGGUUUGUCUCCUUUCCUCUUUUGUCAACCUUGAAAAAUGCUCUUUCUCCUUUUUGGCAAUAAGUCUUUUUGAAAGUCUUAUUGUCCCUUUCCUUCUUUGUAUACAAACAAAGACCACUCUCUUUUCACUUGAUUUUCUUGAUCAAACAACCAUUCUUGAAAAUUUCUUUCCAACAAGAUAUGUAGAUGGUGAAGAACACCUCCUUUGAAAUUUUGGAGUUCUAGGUGCACAUUGGACCUCCAAACAUCAACAACUAUGCGUUUUCAAGUUCAAAUCUUCAACAACACAUUUUCAAGCCACCAAUCCUCAAAAAACAGCAACUUUCAAAUUCCAAGAACAACUCGAAAAUGGCUCAAAAUUUGGAUCUAGACUCACUUAGUGUUAGUGAAGAAGGGGCUAGUACUAGAAACAACCAAAAGUCCAAAACACAUAAAAAUCUCAUAAAUCUAAGAUACAAAUUUCAGCCAAGACACCAAAAAUGGGACAAUUUUUUUUUUUUUUGAGAUUUUUAGAUUUUCAACACUUGUUUUUUUGUGAUUCGCAAGUUAACAAGCCCCAGAUUGAUUUCGUAGGAACGAAAUCAAUCCUUGCGCUGAUACCAAAUGAUAACGGAUCGACUACGAACACACAAAAACAGCCAAGAACAACAAGGAAAACCGAGAACAAGAUACAACAAAAACAAUGGCAGCAACAACAACACAUGAUAAUGGAAACAAGACAACAAAUGCAAUAAGAUAAAGAUAGUUAGUUUGAUAUAGGGAGAUUACAAAACCUAAGAACCAAGAUGUGUUUCAAACGUCAAGACCCCUAAAUCCCGUAAUAACUAACACCAAACUCUUAUGUAGACUCAAGAGGGACGUCAAUCUCCUCAAGCACCAACGUUUCUAAGCCAAAAUGCAACACAAGUGAAUCCACACUUAAUAUGCCCUAAUUACGGUUUCACUCUCUUUCUCUCUAGAGAGAAGACUUGUUCUUUCAAUAAUCCAUAUCAAUAAUCAACUAAGGAAAUAAACCCUAAAAUGUUCUACUUAUAGUCUAUUACAAAAGAAGAUAAAAUGAUCAAACUAUCCUUAAUGAGAAAGGGGUGCCUAUGGAGUGUCAAGACACCAUGUGCAAUCUCUAAAUUACCCUUAAAGAAGGGCCAGCCUUGGUGUGUAAAUUAGGGGGCUGCCUUGGAGUGUGUAAAGCUCUUCAAAACACUUCUUCACUUGUGCUCUCAGGUAGUCAUUAAGGCAAGCCUCCAAGCAACCCUCCACACACGGAAUUGCUCUCUUGAAUGUUCAAAACGGGUCCUCCAUGCAUGCUCUUGUGUCCUCGAGGUGAUCAAAGCUUGAGUUUUUAAGUGUUGGCCUCCAAGGAUGUCAUCAAAAGCUAUGUUGGCCGUUUGGAUCGUAUCAUCUUCAUCCCACUUCAAUCAUUCUUCGACUCUGGAGCUCCUUUCAAAUUCCAUUAGGAAUUCAUUCGCAAGUGCAGAGCUAUUCUGCUUGUCAUCCCUGUAAUUUAUGUCUAUAGCAUUGUAAUUCCUCUCUGUUAAUGUGUUAAUUGCACUCUGUUUCAAUAUAAAUAAUAUCUCUUGUUCACCUUUUGUGGUUCUACAAGUUAAAUUGCUACACAAUCCGAAGAAAUUGAAGUGUUCUAUAUUCACUAUAUAUAACAAUUCAACAAUUUCCUUCAUAAGAAAUUUUUUGCCAGUACUAUGGACGCUUAUUGUAAGCUCUCCAACUCUGAAAUAAUACCUUUUCAAGAAACGGAUGCAGGGAGACAUGGUCAGGAAACUCGAGUCUUCAAUGAAUCUCUACACAUUUAUCCCAAACUAGUUGGGGUCACCUAUAAGAGUAUCCUAAUUUGUUGUGCUUUUUUCAGACCAUUUCAUUAAUUCACACUUCAUAUACUGAUAUACAAAUCUCUAAAUUAAAAAACAAAAACAUAGAAAUUGUGGGAGCGAACAUAAGAUUCUUAUUGGAGUAUCUUUUUAGUCAUUUUCUUAAUAUUUUUGAUAAGUUUAACCUCAAUCCACAUAUUAUUUGCUUUAAAACUUAAAACUAUGUUAGGUUUGUGUUGGAAAAAAAAACUUAAGAGGAACGGAAGUAGAGAGGAAAAUUAAGAGAUAAUUCUUUGCAAGUAAGCAGGAAUAGGAAGCAAAAGUGGAUAGGUUUUGUAUUCUUAUAUCUGAAAUUUUUCAGUGUAUCUGAAAUUUAACUUAAAAAGGAAAUGUUUGUCUUCUGUUCCAAUCAUACCAAACAACCAGAAGUACAACGCUUCUCUCCACUUAAGGGAGGUAAAUCAGUGAAUAACCCGUACUCUAAUGAAGGGGAAAGUAAAUCAGUAAAUGAAAAAUGCUUCAUUUAAGGGAGGUGAAUCCGUAGAAUCUCUCUCAACUUGAGAUUGAUAUAGUAUUUUCUAAUACUUCUAAGUUUUCACGGGUAACUGUCACCAUAUUUUAUACAUCAGUAGAAAAUAUAAAGAUUUUUUGUACCUCUUAUAUUCUUAUUAUUAUCUUUAUGUUGUAUAAUAUUAGCCUGAGAUGAAUUUAAAUGGAGUAACAUGAUCAACGAGGAUUCAUAUAGCCGAGUCAAACUUGUUUGGAACUGAGGUGGUGUUUCUUCUGUGUCGUUGUAAGACCUUCCCCAUAAUUUUGUCGAUAAAAUGGGUUGAUAAUGUAAUGCUCUUCAGAAGUUUAAGUUAUCUUGCACUUGGUUCCAGAUCAUUAUGCCACCAUUGUUCUCAUUCCCCACAAGUGAAAAGUUCUAUGCUGGAAGCAUUUGGUCCAAGAGCUUUCUUAAUUUCUAUGCAAGACCCUACUAUCUUCAUCCACUUGUUUCCAAGAUGUGCAUUAGUUGCUCUUAUCCCACAAAUAUAGCAUUAAUUGGCAAAACCUAUGUUAAAUGGUCAAUUUCUCUAUAUAAAAUUCUGAUUACCUUGUUUUUGCUAUACUGUAACUUAUAAUACUUGUAUAGUUGAUCAUAUAAGCAAGAUUCCUUCACUUGUUUGUGGAUUGUCCUUAUCUAUGUGAGGUGUGAGCAAGCUAUUAUUUCCCAGCUUGAGGUUAAAGUUCCAGGUACUUACGGUCAGAAAGUCGACACAUCAAGUGUAGUUAUAUAGGCUGGUCGAUAUGAUAUUUGGGCAUGUAGAACUAUCCAAAAGAGUGAGAAGUAAGUGGCAUAUAUGAUAUCGUGUACUCCGACAGUCACUUUUGUCAUGCAAUGUUACUGAUCAUAGAUUCAACUGGACAAGAAGCUAAGUUAUGUCCAACUCCUGUUAUUCAGUGAGUAUGUAUGAAUGGUCGAGCUUAAGCGGGCACAAAAUCAACUUGUAGCUUUACAUGUUGUACCCUGGUUUUAUGACAACAACUCUUAAUGUUGUAUUUAUAAUUCUUUUCUGUUGUCUAAUCUUGUUGUCAAUGCUAUUUAUGUUUAUCUUACUGUAUUUUUUGUACAACUGAGGAGUAGCCUCUUAUCCCUUAUUUUCUUUUUGGUGCACCCAUUAGGUACCUUUGUGCAUUGAGGAUUGGGUGUCAUUCAUAGAAAAUCAUAUCUUUAGGUAGGCUUUCUACAUUUUGGUAUACUUCUUAUAUACGGUCGUGCUUUGUACCGAAACAUUUUUAAAAUUAGUAAUUACUUUAUCCUCCAAAAAAAACAUCUGUAGCUUCUUUAUCUGGCAGUAGAGAUGCUACUUGGCAAAAUUAGGUAGGCUUCUUAUGGAAAGUGCCAGGGCUUGUGCUGGUUGCAGGAUGCAUCUGAAAUGUCAUUGGCCAGAAGGGCAGCAAAGAUAAGGGAACACCCUUUGCUGCUAGCUUUCUCCCUUUUUCUUUUCACCGUCCAAAUCCAAAUUGUGGAUCCUUAUUUGCAUGGAUGCUUAAUUGAUUGCCAUCUCUACAGAAAUUUCUUUCUGUUUUAGAUAACUAGACUCCAACAACAACAUUCCCAAUGAAAUUUCACUACAAAAUAUACCACAUAUAGAGACCUACAUGCUUCCGACUUUUAUUUCGUGUACGGUUGCUUAUGCUAACAGAAAAUUGCUAGAUAUAUUUGGGAUAUAUAAAUUUGUGUUCGAGCAUCAGUAUGUGUUUUGAUAUUAACUAGGCACAAUGGCUAUUCAAUCCGUCUCCUUACUGACUUUACUAAAUUGAGAGCUGUGAGUUAAUGUUUCUAAAGCGAGUUAUAUUUUUAAUAUUUAUAGGUGUGGAUGUGAGCAUGAACACACACCUGAAGGCUGUCAAAAUUACGCUAAAGGGGAAGAAUCCAGUGACGUUGGAUCACCUGAGCGUGAGGGGUAACAACAUCCGUUAUUACAUCCUCCCAGACAGCUUAAAUCUUGAGACGCUGCUGGUGGAAGAUACACCCAGGGUGAAGCCAAAGAAGCCAACAGCUGGUAUGUUCAGACGUUUCUUUUUCUUUUUCCUUUGUAAUUGCUAAAAAAGUAAUGUUCAGAAGUAUUUUUAUGCCUCCUGGCUGUAUGGUUAAAUUUCCUUGAUGCUUAGACGUAUACUAAUUUCCUCUUUCUCUGAUUCUUCUUUCUCAGGAAAGCCUUUGGGACGUGGUCGUGGGCGCGGCCGUGGACGUGGACGUGGUCGAGGCCGCUAAAUGCAUUCCAGCUGCUCUUAUUUUUUUUUUUGCAGUGUUGUCUAUGUAAACAUAUAUGUAUGGAUGGAGAGACUUGCUCUUAGUUUUCUAGCAGAAAAGAGAUUGAUCUAAUGCAACAAUUUAUUCCGGAUCUUUAAAGUCUGAGCACGUUAUUUCGUUUCGCACGAUAUAUGGUGUACUAACAUUUCUUUCGUAUCUCAUUCAACUUUAUUCUGCCUAUUCAUAUCACUGAACUGUGUUGGUCACUUUUGCAUCUGCCCAUUUGCAUUGUGCCCUUCGGUUUUUUCAUACAAAGUAGUUGUUACUUUUAAGCUGCUUACUGGCUUAACCCUAUGAAACUCUAAUAAUGCCCACAUUUACUUAGUUUAGUCUAUAAUAGGAAGUAGUUUGUUAAAAAUUAAAAUGACAGAAGAUAGAAAAAGGGAAAAAGAAGCAAGAUACUACUACGAACUAGUGUUUUGAGUCUCUCACAUUACCAGCCUACAUUUGGAUCAAAUUGGGAAUUGGAGGAAUCAUUAUGUGGGAUGAUCGAUACAAGUUUGAACCCGGGCACUUUUCAUGGAUUUGAAACUCCAUCAAAUUUUUAACUAAAAAUUAUGUUGUUAGUUUCAUUUAAGAUGGGAUUUAUGUUGUUUAUACAAUUUUUAAAUCAACUGAAUCGUUUCAUUUUCCUUAAGUUUGCCAAACUGGCUAAAAGUUGAAUACUCUACUUUAAAAUAUUGGAUACAACUUAAAUAGCAGGCUAACAUAGUGCAAUUGUUACCAUUAAAAAGUGACCCGGCCCACAUUUAGUCGAUUGGGCCUUUUUACAUCGCCCAAAAUGAAUAGGCCCAUGUGCUACGGGCACAUGGAGUACGACGCCGCUUCUGUUGGGAGUCUCUGGUUUUUGAAUAAACCCUGGCGCUCCUUGCCCUAAACGGGAGGCUGUAUCGGGAGUAUCUUCAAUUUCUCCAGCAAGAAUGAAGCUCGUCAGGUUCACUCGAAAUCUUCAAUUAUUUUUUUUCACAGUGAGUUUAGCCAUUGAUUAAACUUUCAACUUUGUGUGCAGAUUUUUGAUGAAGCUCAACAACGAGACUGUCUCAAUUGAGCUCAAAAACGGCACCGCUGUUCAUGGAACCAUUACAGGUCACUCUCUCUCUAUCUCUAUCUUUCUCACAUUUUAUUUUGCAUUUUUAUUCUAAUAUAUAUUUUGUAUAGCUGUAUUUACGUAUUAGGUGUGACCCUUGUAAGGCUGUAUAAUCCGAAGUGAAUAAUUUGCACUUAUGUAAUAGCUGAAUUUCUCAUACAGUCACACCAAUAUGUAAAUUAAAGAAUGCGCUUGUAUGGAUAUGAUUUUCUGGGUAGAUAAGUUAUUUCAAAUUGUUGCUAACUGAAAGUUUAGUUGUUCUGAAAAAAGGGGAGUCAACAUAUAUUAUAUUUACAUAAAACUAAAAUUUUUGACCUAGCUAAACAGUGAAGUUUUCCGUCGAAGGGGUAUCAAAUGACACCCCUCGCCAUAAGGUGGCUCUGCCACUGGUAAGUGGUAACUGCAAUAGCUUACUUCAUUCUCCUUUCACUUCCACCAGUCACUAUGUAAGUCUGUAAAUGCAUGGAAUCUAGGGUAGAGAAGCUAUAAAGAGUAUAUGAGGUAAUCCGUCUGAUAUCAAUCGGUCUUCCCCUCUCUCUGUUCUUCUGAAUUUCCGAAUCUUCUGAAUUUCCGAAUUCCUUUCUUAUCCUCUUUGAUUUGCACAUUUUAUCUCCACUUCAAUCCUUCUUCAACUAUGAAGUUCGUUUGAAGUACCAAUAGGAAUUUAUUAAGAAGGGACAGGAAGCAAAAGUAGAUGGGUUGUCUAUCCUUCUAUCUGGAUUUUUUAGGGUAACUGGAAUUUGAUGGAAGAAGAAAAUGUUUUUGUCUUACUUCUGUCCAACCUUACCAAACAAACAGAAGUACAUCUUUUCUCCACUUACGGGAGGUAAAUCACUGAAUGGACAUGCUCCACUUAUGGUGGAAGUAUACAGUAAGUGGCCAAUGCUUCUCUCAUUCUCUGUCAAAUAAAAAGGGACCAAUGCUUCGCUUUAGGGAGGUAGAUCAGUAGAAUCUCUCUCAACUUGAGAUUGAGAUACAAUAAUUUAUAGUACUUCUAAAUUUUAACGGGUAACUAUCACCAUUACAGUAUAUAGCAGUAGGAAAUAUGAAGACUUUUUGGUACUGUUUAUGGAGUAACAUGGUCCAUGAGGAUUCAUUUAGCCGACACGAACUUGUUUGGAACUGAGGUGUCGUUUCUUUUGUUGUUGUUGUAAAACCUUCAUCAUCAUUUUGUCUGAUAAAAUUGGUCGAUAAUGAAAUUCUCAUGAGAAAUUUAAGUUAUCUUGCGCAUGGUUCCUGAUUAUUAUGCCAAUUGCCACCAUUGUUCUUAGUUCCCUACAAGCGACAAGUUCUUUUAUGCCGGAAUUAUUUGGUCCAAGAGCUUUCUUAUUUUCUAUGCAGAACCCUGUUGUCUUCAUCCUGUCGUCUCCAAGACGUGUGUUAGCUGCUCUAAUCCCCACAAAUGUAACAUUAAUUGACAAAACGUAUGUUCAGUGAUCAAUUUCAUCUGUCUACAUUUUGAUUACCUAGUUGUUGCUACACCGUAACCUAUGCCACUUGUAAUCGAUUAUGUAAGCAAUAACCAUGAUGGCUUCACUUAUUUAUGGAUUGUCUAUGUGAGGCAUUUGUAAGCUACUAUAUCCCAGCUUCAUGUUAAAGUUCCAGCCUCCAGGUAUUUGCUAUAUUUAAUGGUUCUUGUUCUGAGAUCAACUGGACAAGGAGCUAAGACUUUUUUUUUUUUUUUUGGGGAUAACCGUGGUGUCCGGGCCAUCUUGCCCGCACCUCGACUAAUUUCACGGGAUACUUGCCACCUCCCACCAGUCACCGGUCACCAACAACAUGUACCAGGUAACUUUGUCCACCAAGACUAGAACAAAUGGAAAGAAAUCACCUAGUGUUUGUCUCUGUUGGGAAUUGAACCUGAGAACUCAUGGUGCUCAACCCAACUUCAUUGAACCACUAGGCCACAGCUUUGGGUGCAACACGUAGCGAAGAGUUGUGUGCAACUCUUGUUAUUCACCAAGUAUGUUUGAAUGCUUGAGCUUAAGUGGGUGUGAAAUCAACUUAUAGCUUAUUAUGUUGUACUCAAGUUUUACGACAACACCACUUAGUGUUGCAAGUAUAAGGAAAUACGAGCACGUUUCGUUGUGAAAAGAAGAGAGGUAAUAGAAGAACCAAUAAUUGUUACCCUGCAAAACAGGACAUGGACCAUCUAAUUUAUGGGUCCUAAUUUUGCGUGGAGGCUUAGUUGAUGGCCAUAUAUGUAUUCCAGAAGUUUUAUCUCUUUUCUAAACGAUUAGAAUAGUUAAAACAUAAAUUUUUGUCAUAUCCUCCUAUUUAGAGACCUUUUGCAUUUUUUUUCUCUGUUGGUUGUCCUUUCUAUGCUUCCGACUUUUAUUCCGUGAAGGGUUGCUUAUACUAACAGAAAAUUGCUUGAUAUAUUUGGGACACAUUAAUAUGUCUUAAGCAUAUCAGUAUGUGUUUCGAUGCUAACUAGGCACAAUGUCUAUUACAUCCGUCUCCUUACUAUUUACUAAAUUGAGAGCUAUGAGUUUAGUUUCUAAAGGGAGUUAUAUUUUUAUAGGUGUGGAUGUUAGCAUGAACACACACCUGAAGGCUGUCAAAAUUAUGCUUAAGGGAAAGAAUCCAGUGACUUUGGAUCACCUGAGUGUGAGGGGUAACAACAUCCGUUAUUACAUUCUCCCUGACAGCUUAAAUCUUGAGACGCUGCUGGUGGAAGAUACACCUAGGGUGAAGCCAAAGAAGCCAACAGCUGGUAUUGUCAUAUUCUUAAGGGCUAUGUUCAGAUUUUUUUUGCGCCUUCUGGCUGUAUGGUUUAAUUUCCUUGAUGCUUGGACAUCCUUCUAAUAUCCUCUUCAUUUGUUUCUUCCUCUUCAGGGAAGCCUUUGGGACGUGGUCGUGGGCGCGGUCGUGGGCGUGGACGUGGUCGAGGCCGUUAAGUGCAUUCCAGCUGCUCUAAUUUUUUGCAGUAUUGCCUAUGUAAACAUAUGUACGGAUUGAGAGAUUUGUUCUUAGUUUGCCAGUGGACAAAAGAUCGAUCUUAUGCAACAAUUAUUCUGGAUCCUUAGAGCACGUUAUUUCGUUGCAUCAUAUGGUCUACUAGUAUUACUUUUGUAUCUCGUUCAAUUUUGCUCUGCCUAGUCAUGUCACUGAACUAUAUUUGUCCCUUUUACAUCUGGCCAAUUUCAUUUUUUCUUACCAAAGUAGUAGUAUUAUUUUUAAUCUUUCUUACUGCAUUGACCUUAAUGAAUCUCCACAAUAUUCCACAUUUAAUGUCGUUGUUUGUGUGUUUUGAGUGAAUAAUGCGUGCGUGUACGUGUGUGUAUCUCGGAAUCCUUUCGAUAACUUGUUUAUCUGUCAGCACUAAAAGGGUGUAUCAACUACAGCUUGACAUGUAAAUCAAUAAUGCGUACCUCAUUUUGGAUUAAAUUACCCAAGACCACAUUGACCAAACUAUGAAAAUUAUUGCUUAUUAGUGAGUAUACUUAUUCUCUUAAUGAGAAGUAAUUUGUUGAAAUACUUCUAUCUAGAGCACCGAAAAACCUUCUAAUGUUUUGAACCCAUGCAUUGUUCAUGACUAGAAACUCCAUCAAUUUUUUGAAUCAACGAUUCAUACUUUGGGUUUAAACUUAUAAAAGUUUGAUUGAUAAAUCGUUCAUGCGUUUUGAAAUUCCAACAAAUUCAUAAACCUCGUGAAUCAUUCCUUAGGUUCCAUUUGACAAAGAUCCGAAUUCCAGCACCAUUUGCUGAAGUUAUUUCAAGUUUUUAUUUUGUCCAAAAUAUUUUCAUGCCAAAAGAGUGGCUAAAUGUUAUGGUAAUAGUAUAAUAUAUAUUUAAUGGCUAAUCCCGUAAAUUGAGGCCCUAAGUAAUCGGGCCCAAUGGGGCUGCAUUUUAAUAAAUAAUUAGUAGUAACAGUAAGCAAAUCCCCUAGAAAGCUGCAACCUAAAACCCUCAUCGAAAAAAGCAAAGCUGCAGGUGGUCUCAACAAUGGCGAAGAACAACGCGUUGAAAUCGACAGCAGUGGUAUUCGGAGCUCUAGCUUUUGGUUGGCUGGCGAUUGAGCUUGCUCUCAAGCCGUGGCUUGACAAAACCCGAGCCGCCAUGGACAAGUCUGACCCUUCUCGUGACCCCGACGAUGUUGAAGCCGUCGCCGAUCAAACUUCAGAAGCCGACAAGUCUCAGGUCGAUGUUGACCCUCCCCAGAAAGACAACUGAAUUGAGAGUUUUGUUUACUAUUUGGGUUGUAAAUCCCAAUAUAUUAUAUUGCUUUAAUUUAACUCUUUGGUAAAAUAAAAAAAAAGAGUUAGGAAUGUGGUGACUUGUUAAUUUCUGUUUUAUGUUUCAGUUUCUAAUGUUUAUAGUAUUACGCUUGAGGGGAAAAUGGUAUUGCCGAAGCUUAAUUUGAUUCAAUUUGGAAUUUCAUCUACCUUGCUAGUGCAGAUUGAAUUUGAUUAGAGAGCAUGUUAAUUUUCAACUAGAUUAUCCUUAAUAUAAGCUUUUGAAAUAUUGCAUUUGCCUGAUUUACCAGUCGUCGGAUCACCAGAUUGCCCUUUACGUCUAAUGUAUGCGUAUACUCUACCAUCCUCAAUUCUCUUUGAAUAUGCAUAUAUUCUCCUCAACGUAGUGAGUAUGUUUGUGUAUAAUCUACCAUCCUCAACUCUCUUCCAAGUAGGGAUAAAAUAUCCGCAUAUAUUCUACCAUCCUCAGACUCUCCUCAAAGUAGUGAGUAUGUUUGCGUAUAAUCUACCAUCCUCAACUCUUUUCUAAGUAGGGAUAAAAUAUCCGCAUAUUUUAUCAACCUCAGACUCUCCUCAAAGUAGUGAGUAUGUUUGUGUAUGCUCUACCAUCCUCAUACUCUCCUCAAAGUAGUGAGUUUGUUUGUGUAUACUCUACCAUACUAACGCUCUAUUUGGCCAUAAAAUAUAAUUUUUAGUAGUUGGAAUUAGAGUUGAGUUGAAGUUGGCAUUGGUAUUGUGUUUUGCCAUGAAUAUAAAUUGAAGUUGUUCUUGAAAUUUUGUGAUAGAAAUGAGAAUUUUACUAUUCAAAAAUAAUUUUCACUAAAGUGAAAUUAUAGCCAAACACAACUAUUUUUCACUAAAGUAAAAUAACUUUUUAAAAGAAGUAAAAAAAUUUUCUGGUCAAACACCUACUAGAACUCUCCUCGAACUCUCUUAUGAAAGAGUAAUUCAUUAGAUGAACGUGAAACAUUAGAUGAACCACAAGUGAUAAUCGUUUAAUGAUUGUUUUCUAUGAUUUGACUUUAUAUUUGUUUUCUAUGAUUUGACUUUAUAUUUCUCUUUCAGUAACGGUCAAUUUGUUUUUUAUAUGAGUUGUUGAUAUAUCAUACAUCACAUAAUAUACUACUAUAAGAUUAUCUACAGUGGAUACACUGCAUAUAGCUAGCAGCAAUGAGAUAAGGACUCUACUAAUUUUUCACAUCACAAGAUAGAGAUAGGAUUGAAGGGAUUGUAUUAAUUAAAUUCGAUUUGACUACUUAAUCAUGAUAUGAAUAUGGUAGUAGUAUAUCUUUUCAUACCAUCCUUGUACAUAUUUCUCAUAUAUCUCAGCGUGAUUUGUGGGUUAUACAUGAAUAGACUAAGCUUGUGGCUCUUUGUAGUCUUAGGGUUCGUUUGGUAGAAUGUACAAAAAUAAUAUAAAAUAUAAUGUAUUAAUAAUGUUUACAUUAAUCAUGUCUAUAUUAGUUAUGCAUAUAUUAUUUCUUUCUACGUUGUUUGGUUUGAUGUAUAAGAAAUAAUACAUCUUACAUAAAAUCUAUAAAAGAAAUAUUUAUUUGCAAAAAUAUCCUUCUUUGAUUUUGUACACUUCUUUGCAACAAAAUUUUUUUGUCAUCUCAAACAUAAUUAGUAUUGUUGAACUAGUAUAUAGAGGUUUUGGUUUAAUUGCAAGACCUUCGUCUUUGCGCAUGAAAUAUUACGCUAACGAAUUAACAUAGUCGAAAUAAAAAUAAAAUAUAAGACAUAAAAUUAAGAAAUAGUCUCAUUUUUUUUUAUCUUUUUAAAGACCCUAGAAGCAAAACAAAAAUAUGUUACAGUUAUUUAAAUCAACUAUUCAUUAUUGUAAAUUAAAAUAGUGGAAAAAAAAAUUGUGAAAUAUUUGAAAAGAUUCACUAUUGCAAAUUAAAAUGGCGGGAAAUGGAAUGAUGAAAUAUUUUGAGAGGAAAAUUGAGGGGUAUUAAGGUCAUUUAAUAAGUUAAUGCAUGUGUUAAAAGACAUUGUAUUAGUAAUAUAUAGGAAAUGAAGUGUAUUACUAAUAUACACUUUAAUACACAAUAGGGUGUAUAACUAAUGCUUGCAUUAGUUAUACAUAGAUAAAAAAUUAUACCAAACAAGGUAUUAAUAAUAUACAUUAACUAAUAUAUGCAUUAUAUUUUUCAAUACACUCUACCAAACGACCCCUAUUUUACUUAUUAAAAAAAAUGCUACUAAACAUAUUUGUAAUAGUAUAUUUCAUUAUUUGCAUAAUAUAUAUGUCCAAGAGCUUAUCAAGUUCUUCUGCAAAGUGAUAAAGCCAUGGACCCUUCAAGGUAGAGAUUGAAAUUCUUUAUGUGGGUCAAAUAUAGUAGUACUACUGAAUAACAAAGAGAAUGUGGGUGAAGGAGUUGGUGAACUCAUCAAGCUCAUUGCAAGUUCAAAUUUUAUCCUUGUUCCUUUUUUUUAAAAAAAAAAAAAAAAAAAAAAACAUUAUUCAUUCAAAAUGACUAUUGGUCCCCAAUAUGUCUACAACAUGGGGCUAGGUGCAGGCAAAAUACAAAACAAUAAAUUGGCCGGUGUUUGGUUUAGGGGUGAGUGAGCAUGGUAUAUAUUGGUACUUGGUAGUAGCAAUAUCAAAUUAAAUUUGAUAUGAUUCAGUGUUUUUUAAGUUUGUUUUUGAAAAUUUACGGCAUAGUAUAUUGAUAAUCUUAGUUUGUUUAAGUAUAUUCAUGUAUAGAGAAUUACAACUUCGAUUUUUCGAAAAAUAUUUCAAUUAUGUGAUUCUAACACAUCACAUACUUGUGAAAUAUUCAAAAGAAAGUACAAAUAAUUUCCUUCUUUAAUCAAUUACAUAAAAAAAAAAAAAUCAAGAUAGAAUCGUUAAAUUUUUAUGUUUAUUUUUUAUAAAUAUCAAAUACUAAUCUUUUGAAGCAUACCAAAUAUACCGUAAUACAAAAUGCACGAUAUAAAUUUUUUUAAUAUCACUAUAAGGGAUCGUUUGGUGUGAGGUAUAAAAGAUAAAUAGUUUCGGAAUAAAAUGAAGGAUUAUUUUAUUAAAUAUUUGGUGUGACGUAUUAGUUAGUAUCAGAAUUAUUAAUCCCAUUAUUUACAUCAUAAUAAUGAAAUAAAUUAUCCCAUAUAUAUAAUGGAAUAAUAAUUAUUCUCAAAAUUAAUUAUUUCGAAAUAACAUUUUUCCAAUCAAACUACCCUAAUAGUUCAGUAUCUACUAUUAGGGUACCCUCCCUAAUUUGGUUUCUUGGGUUAAUUAAAAAAACUCAUAAAGUGCCUAUUCUAUUUUAACUGCUGCGGCAUCGUGGGUGAAUCUAAGUAGGCUGACACAACGCCUUCAUUUUAUUAGGUGUAUUUAAUCAAUACGCAUUUCGAUACUUUCUAAUCUCGGGUACAAUUAUUUGUUUAAUUAGCAAACAAUUCCAGCUCAUACAAAGUUUAACUACUGCUAUUGACGCAAAUAUCAUACUCCCCUACGUCUUAAAUUACCCAUUUCAAAUUGAGUUAACAUAUUAAUUAAGAAAAUUAAUUAAUAACAUGACUAAUUUAUCAUUAUACUCCUAUUAAAUGAUGUUUAUACUUUAAUUUGAAAAAAAAUAAUUAAUGCAAAGGGUUAAAACAUGAAAUUUUUUUUUUUUAUCUCUUCUUGAUUAAUGAAAAGAACAAGUAAAAUAAGAAAUUAAAUUAAAAAAUUUAGGACGAAUAAUUUGAAACGGCUUGUUUGAUUUCUAAUAAUGAUAAUUAGUAAAGUUAUUACUCUAUUCGUCCUAUUUUACUCGUCUCAUAUUUUUUAAUUUGAUUUUUUUUUCUUUUUUACCCUUAGUAUUAAUUUUUUUCAAAUUAAAAUAUAAAUAUUAUUUAAUAAGGAUAUUAUGUAAAGUAGUCAUGUUAUUAAUUAUUUUCUUAAUUAAUGUGCAAUGUCAAAUUGGAACGAAGAAAGUAUCAUAUAAUUAAAAUAUCACAAACUCAAAUUACGAAAGUAGCCGCUAGUAGAAGUAGAAAUAAGAUUGCGAAUAAUAAAUCUUUAUACUUGUCAUUUGAUCAUUACGAAGCUCUUACCAAGUAAAAAUUUUAGUAGAGCAAAUUGAAAAAAGUUUAGAUCCACUCCUAAGUGGUUAAUUGGAGUUUUGCAUGUAAAAAGCAGACAAAUUAGCGAAUCUAGAGAGAAAAUGAAGUGAAAUUUUGGUUAUUUUGUUGACAUCCCACGUUCCUACAUAUUCUUCCCUUAAACUUCCCGGCGGUUCCACCGGCUCUGUACACUUUCUUUUUCACCCUUUCCCCGACAUCUCAGCCACUAAUGUACUAAAAAGAAAAAUCAAAUGCUUACCAAACGUUCAAACAAACAUAUUAAAGUUUUAAAACUUCACUUUUUUUAUUUCAUCACAACAAGCUUAGUAGUAACUCACUUGAUAUAUAAUAACUGUGCAAAAUUGCAUUUUAUGCAAGACCCCAUUUCCCUUUUUAGCCUAUUUGUUUUGAAUUUUUGUCUUUAAUUUUGUCCAUACAGAAACCCCACCUCAUCCCUUAGCUGUACUCAACUUAAAUGUUCUCCGUGGGAACACAUUUCCAUAAACCUCCAAAAAAAUUUCAACUUUUUAUUUUGCUAGUUCCUUUUUUUUUUUCCUUUCUAUUUUGCUAAUCUUGUUCAUCCCAAGAUUUGAUUUUUGUUUAGUUGUAAGUAGAGAGAUGAGUUUGAGUGAAGAAACAUCUCCGAGAAUCUCCAGCACAAUGACCCACUUAAAGAUUUUCAAGAAACUCAAGGGGUUUAAGCCUUUUGAGCCUUCACCAGGUGUUCUUGGAUGCUUCUUUUUUACUGUUUGCUUGUUCUUGUGUCUCUUCUUAUUGGAUUACAGAACAGUAAACAAAGGGCCUAGGUUGCAUCAGCCAUCAUUGUUUGCUACUUGGAUUGGGAUAAAUGGAUCCUCUUUGUUGUAUAACAAGACUGAAAAAGCUGAUUUUUUGGAAAGGGGUGCUGAAAGUUGUGACAUUUUUGAUGGAAAUUGGGUUUGGGAUGAAAGCUAUCCACUUUAUGAAUCAAAGGAUUGUAAUUUGUUGGAUGAAGGUUUUCGUUGUUCGGAGAAUGGUAGGCCUGAUAAUUUCUAUACUAAAUGGCGUUGGCAGCCUAAAAAUUGCAACUUGCCCAGGUUAACUUUACAUAUUUUCUUAUGAUAAUUAGUAAUUUAUACUAUGUUUGAGUUAUGCUGGUAAUUUAAAUAAAGGAUUUAAAAUAAAAGAAAGUGAAAGAAUUGCUUCAACCGUUUAGGCUUUGACUGUUUUAGGAAAACCCCUAAUGUGUUUUUCUUGCUAGCAUUUGCUACUUGUUUUAGCUGAUUGAGGUUUUAAUCAUUGAAUUAGUAGGGGAAUUUAGUUAUAUACAUGACAGUGCAAAAUCUUGUUACACAAUCAACACAAUUUGAGUGGUUACAUCUGGUGGUCAAUCUAUUUUUCAAUUGCCAAUUCAGUCUUGGUAUAAUGAAUUACCUAUUAGGUCAAUUUUACAUAACGGUGUGUACAAAAACUAUAUACAGCUAUCUGUGUAUACAACUUUUAACUCUUACCAUGUUGGCUUUCGUUGAGCGCCGCAUAAUGUUGUUAGCUUGAUGCUUCAGUUUCUCAUUGUUAGUUUUUUGAGGAUGUAGGAGAGAGGUUUUCGUAAUCUUUUCCAUGAUUAUUGAAUGCAAAUUUUUGAUCUUCGAUUUACUAUUAAGCAGAUUUGAUGCAAAAAUUAUGUUGGAAAAGCUGCGAAACAGACGGAUUGUAUUUGUUGGGGAUUCAAUUGGAAGAAACCAGUGGGAGUCUCUUCUCUGCUUGUUGUCUUCUGCAGUUGCUGAUAAAAGCAAGAUAUAUGAAGUUAAUGGAAGUCCGAUCACAAAGCACACAGGUUUCUUGAUUUUUAAGUUCAAGGAUUUCAACUGCACUAUUGAGUACUAUAGAGCUCCAUUCCUAGUGUUUCAAGGUCGUCCACCUUCAGGGGCUCCCCAAAAUGUUAAAUUGACUUUGAGACUUGAUCAAAUGGAUUGGAGCUCUGCUCAAUGGAAAGGGGCAGAUGUUUUGAUAUUCAACAGUGGUCACUGGUGGAUUUAUGAAAAAACUAUUAGAGAGUGAGUUCUUUACUUUCUUUUUCAAUUUGAGCGCAUACUUUUCUUGCUUGUUAAAGGAUAGAAUGAAUCUGAUGGAACACUUGGGAUUUUAUUUUUGUGUCGAGAACUUAAGUUUACAAAUAGAUUAUAGCGAAAAGUUGUAUAAGGUACAUAUAGUUGCUAUAGUUGUGUAUAUUUCCCUUCUAGAUUUUUGCAUUUAAGAACCUAGAAGUACGGCCCUGAUUAAUUAUACAUCUAUGAAAAAAGCUACAACAACGAACCCCGUAUAAUCCCAUGGGUGAGGUCUGAGAAGGGUAGAGUGUACCUACACCUUACUCUACCUUUGAGAAGGUAGAAAGGCUAUGUCCGAUCGACCGUCGGGUGAACGAAGAAUGAAAAAAGAGAGUAACAGCAAGCAGAAACAACAACAGGAUAAUAAGAUAGCGAGACUAAAGAAACGACCGGUAGUGAUAGAAAUCUAAAAUAAGGGAAACUUUAAGAAUGAUACUAGUACUCUGGGAAAGAGAACGAAAUACGUCUGACUACUUACUAACCUUCUAUCCUGAUUCUUAGCCUCUACCCCUUCCCAUCAAGGUCAUUUCCUGGGUGAGCGGAAGUUACGCCAUACACUUCCUAAUCACCUCAUCCCAUUACUUUUUAGGCAUACCUCUGCACUACACGUCCUCACGCCAACCACCACAAAUCUCCCAGGCCUCCUAACCAGGGCAUUUGCACCUCUCCUCUUCACAUAUCCUAACCAUCUCAGCCUUAAUUUUCGCAUCUUAACCUCCACGGGAGCGACGUAAACCUUGUCCCGUAUAUCUUCAUUCCUAAUCUAUCUCUCUUGAUAUUCCCACACAUCCACCUCUGCAUUCUCUUCUCCGCCACUCACAUCUUUUGUACAUGAGAGUUCUCGACUUGCCAACACAGUCUUCGUCGAACUUACCUCUAUUUCAUCCAUCCAGCCCCAAUAUGAUGAGCAACGUCUUCGUCAAUUUCCCAUUACCUUGGUUUACUGACCUAGGUAGUUGAAACUUUCUCUCUUAGGGAUGACCUGUGUGUCAAGCUUCAGGUCCAUGUCCACUUCAUAGGACACGUCACUGAACUUGCACUCCAAAAGAUUGGUAAACAUAAAGAAAAUAGUUAACGACUAAAUAUGUAGAACAUAGAGAAAACUAGCAUUUAACAAUUUGCUACAUACUGCCAGAAGCCCAAAACCUUCAAAGUUGUUGAGCUACAUUAUAGCAAGGAUUUCCCGUGGAGAAGAAUAGUAUGCCACAGAGGACCAAAUAACAAAUUACCAUUAGCGAGCACCCCGGCUACCAUGUGCUUUAUAUCUUCUUCGCCUUCUUCGCACAUUAUGAAAGGAAAAAUGAAAUAAUGGGCGGGUAGCGUGCUAAAAAUUUUGGUGCUCAAUGUCCCUUUUGGAUUGUUCCCAUGCACUAGGCAUGUUUUGCAUCUACAUGAAUAGAGGGGGCUUAAACCUGUAGGUUUUCCCUCAUUCAUUGUUAGAUGCAUCCUUUAAGGUAAAUUUUUCAGUGAAGGAUUCAGCUAAUUGAUCUAAACUUAGGGACCUUGGUAGUGGAUAUGCAUGAAAAUAAGUUUGAUAGGGCAGAAACUGAAAUAGUUCAGUAAUGGACUCAGUUACUUUGCAGAAAAAUAGAAGAUUUUGAAUUCAACUUCUCUGUCAUGUAGCAAAAUGAAAUAUAAAAAUGUUAUCAUGCUCUGUAGAACUGGAGGUUGUAAAUUUGAAUAUCCGCAGAUUGAAGCUCGAUAAUAUGUUCUAGCUCUUUCAUUUGGCCUUUGUGUCUUAGCCUUGACGUUGGCCUUCUAUCUGAAAUUGAAAGGGUUUAGUGAGGUAUGAGUGAUCAGUAAUUGUCGUUGAAUUCUCCGAGCUAAACGAUGCUAGAGCUAUUAUCUUUUUGGUAGGAAUUUUUAUUAGGAGAAAAGCAACCAUAUUUGUUCUGGAUAAGUAUUAUCCUCAUCAAGCAAAUUUUAUUUCUCAAGCUGUUUAGAUGUGUUGCUUCCCAUCACUAAGUGGUGCAUUAACGUUAAGCACUUAAGUUUGGUCAUCAAAGUUGUUGCUUUUGUGAAUCUUAAUCUUGAUUACCGAUAACGAAUACACUUGUGACAUUGAUUUCUGUACUUGAUAGGGGAUGUUACUUUCAACAAGGUGGAGAAGUUAAUAUGACCAUGAGUAUUGAGACUGCAUACCGGAAGUCAAUUUCGACAUUGGUUGAUUGGAUAGGUCUUGAAGUGAAUAUGACCAAGACACAUGUCGUAUUUCGAACUUAUGCUCCUGUUCACUUCAGGUAUGUCUUGGUCUUCAUCUGUUAAUUGAAGGUGUCUUUUCAUAAGGAAACAUACUAGGUCACUCCUGAAUAAAUUCUUCUGAGAUCUGUUGCUAACUUCAUUGUAUUACAAGUGUUACGAAGAAAUAUAGUUCAGAAUGGUAAUUUAAGUUUAAAAAGAAGCUGAGAAGGUUGACCUUAGAGAUUUUUUCUAGUGGUAAGAGCAUAUAUUAGGUAUGUAUUAAUUGAUUUCAAACCCUGCACAAAAGAAAAGUACUUGAGUAGAGAAUGGAAAGAGAGCAGGUUCAUUAUUUUCCGGGUUUACAACCUAAUUGGCUGUAAUGAACCCAAAUUGCACGCACUCUAAUUGAAAGCCGAGUAAUUUGAUUAUAUCAACAGAGUUAACUGAUCACAAUGGUACUAAAGAAAUAACUAGGCAAUGAAGGAAAGAAAAGGGAAUGAGAACAGGAUUAACCUUAGAAAGGGAUGAGAAGCUCGGAGCUAGCUAGGGGAUAUACUAUAUUUCCUUUUAGCUAGUCAGAUACCCUUUCAAUACCUUUUAUCAACUGGAUCCUAAACCUGGUCCAAUGCCCUUCUGUUGGGCCGUUUCAACCUUUCAUACUUGCUAAAUCCUCUCUGUGCCCAAUCAUAUCAACUUGGUCUUGCCCAUCCGGCAUAUUCACAACGUUAGCUUUCAAGGAUUUCUCUGUUAUCACAAAAAAAGAGAAGAGGAGGGGGAAGAAGAAGAAGCUGAGAAUGUUUUAAGGUUGUGAGGUUCAUAAUCCUUAAUAGCCGCUGGUGGUUGUAUUAAAUGAGGUCUGAGUUGUUAGUGGUAGCGGUUUAACUUUGUGUAUCCUGUAUAGAAAUGGAAUAUAUUGUGUGUACGUCUCACGUAAGGUUGAGAAAACACAGUACAGUUUGUAUGUCUGUCUAUCUGCACGCAAAUCUGGUCAUAUCUCUACCUGAAAUUGGAUUUCCUUUUCUUUACAGCCAGAUUAAGAAAAUAAAAGAUCAAAAGUCGUCCACACUAAUUUGUCGUACUUGUGACAUCUUCUGCAAAUUUUCUCUGAACAUGCAUUUUCAGUCUCAUCGGUUAUGUUCUAAAUUUCUAAUUUCAAACAUGGCAGACUGCCUGCUACUGCGGUAGUUUCAAUUAUCAGAUGACAAGUCUGUUUUUGUAUUUUCAUAUCACGAGCUGGCUUUCCUUGGGUGAAUUGAUUUAGUUAGUAGAUUGGUGUUGUUUCUAAUUCUCUUGACUCGACUCGGUAAUAGCUGCAAUAUAUUUGGUAAUGAUAAUACACAUGCAGAUGAGUUGGUUCAUUGCUUCAUAUACAUUUUAGUUGUUACAACGAACUAAUGAAUCAGCUCAAUGAAUUAGAGGAGGGGACUGGAAGACGGGCGGUAACUGUCAUCUGGAGAAGCUACCUAACAUAGGAUCGUCUCAAGAGUUGCUGAAGGCGUCAUUUGAAUAUAACACUGCAAUUAAGGUGCUGUCGGAGCAACAGAACAAAUCAAAAGCGUGGAAUUUGGAUUUAUUGAAUGUAACAGGGAUGACAUUUCAGAGAAGAGAUGGUCACUCGUCGUUGUAUUACCUAGGUUCUAAGGUUGGACCAGCUCCUCUCCACCGCCAAGACUGCAGCCAUUGGUGUCUCCCCGGUGUCCCUGAUACAUGGAACGAGCUUCUGUAUGCCACCUUCCUCAAACGGGAGCUAGCUCGUGCAAAAUUUUCCAGACAAACAUCUUGAUCUCCCACAGCAUGUUGUCUCCAACAUUUCAAAUGUUACAGCUCGUACCCUAGUACUAUAAUACUGCGAACCUUGGAUAGGACACUCAGAAAAUCCUCAAAUUAAUGGUGCGUUUCUAUGGAGAUUAAAGAUUAGGAAUAUGCCUUUUACAAGAUUAAAUGUGGAAAUAUUUGGGGCAUUGUUUUCUUCAGAGCUGAUGACACAUUUUUGCAGUUGGUAUACUUAGGAGUAAGGAUUAUUUAGAAUCUUUACUUCACCAAAUUACUGGAGUAAUGUACAUAGCAUUGUAUGUUGUAUAGCUGAAGUGACAUUAACCCUUCAUACAAAAUUCUGCAGCAUUUGGUACAAUUGUAAAUACUCUGGCUUGAAUGUUUCCAUUUUGUCCGAUCAAAAUACAUAAGACUCCCUUCUAAAUUUGAAAAUAAUUUAACUAUUGGUACCUAAGAGUUUUGAAAAAAAAAGAAAAAAUCAAAAGAUCCCAAAAUAAUGUUUGACAGGAAAGAAGCAGUGAGAGCAAUUAGUUGAUGGUGGCAAGUGUGUAGUCAAGUUAAUUAAUACCCCCGUUGGACAGUGACGUGAGUCGCGUUUCUUUGUUUUCCCUUGAAAUCGAAUUAUUCUCUUCAGUCAUCAUCUAUAAGUAAAAAGAAGAAUGCAGUUGGUUCGAUGCGAUACAAGCAUGACAAAAAAGAAUUGUGAGUGACCUCCCUUUUAUUUCAUUCAUACACACAAGUAGCAUAAAGAAUCAUGGCAUCCGCGGUUUAAUAUAGAUUUCAUCAAUUGAACUAUAUGCAGAGAAUAGCAAAAACUUUGAUUCUCUUUUUAUCUCCAGAUAGGAUAUUGCUGAUGUUAUAGCAUCUCAUGCAUGGCCAAUUGACGAAUUAUUGGUUUGAAUCAGCAUAGAUAUAUUUGUCAAGAGACCUACGUAUUAAAAAUCUAAUAUAGAAAAAAAAAAAAAGCUAUUAAACCUAUAUGGAGAAAUCCCCUAAACAACAAGACAUUACAUUGUGGAUGUUAUUAUUAUACUAUUAAGCCUAUUGGAAGAAAUCUUCCCCGAACCCGAAAUAAAACUUUUUGAUUAGAGACUAUUAUGUUAUUACUUAAAAAAGAGAUCUUCUAUUUAUAAAACUACAAAAUCCUUCUUCUAAAAAGCCUUUAAGUAACUCUAAUUCUGAUACAAAAUUAGAUAAAACAGAAAAUCGAGGACAAAUGUUAACGUAUACUGUCACUUAAUAAUUAUGCGAGUAGUAGUGUCAGUGAAAAACACAAAAUGGGAGCUAAUAAUUACAGAAAUGGUGGGAGAACUUUGGGUUAUAAGUCGACACGUGUGGACAGGACUUUGAGAAAGCAACAACUAUAAUCUAAGUAUCUCCCAAAUUGGAGCAAUGCCAAAAGGAAAAGGGUUGGCUCCUAUUCAUCAACUUCUAAAUUUGGUCAGCUUUCUAUAGAUAUGGGAGAUGCUCUACUUUCAUUUGGUACUUGCCUGCCCAUGGAAUAUCAUCACUCACAGUUAAAAUAUUUUACUCUUUCUAUCAACUUGAAUUGUUUGUCACACAAUGUGGUGUCAUAUCAUACUUUUAACCCCAACGGGUCGGGAUUAGUUAUCUCGAUAUAUAUAUACUAUGGUGUAAGUGGUAGGAUAAAUGUAUUAAAUAAUAUCUCACACCAAAUAUGGAAUAAAAUAAUCCUUUAUUUUAUCUCUGAACUAUUUAUUCCUUAUACCUCACAUCAGUGGCGGAGCUAAAAUUUUCACCAAGAGAGUUUAAAAUCGAACUAGCCGAAGGGGGUUCAACAUCAAUUAUAUAUAUAUAAAAAGAAUUUUCACUAUAUAAUUUUCCGUCGAAGGGAACCCCCUAAUCAUAAGGUGGCUCCGCCACUGCCUCACAGCUAAUAACCCGAAUUGGAUCAAAAUAGUGUCGAAUAAAGGACAAUUUUAACAAAUAGGUUUGUCAAAUUUUUCAUGACCAAAAUGGUGAAAAUGCAUGGACAUAGAGCCCCUUCAGUGUGCAAUUUUCACGUUAAAAAAAUAAACGAACGUUAGAUAUAUUUACACUGAAGGUGCUCUACUCUCACGAGUCUUCAGUGAAUCUUUUACAUUUUAAGAAAAGACUCAUUGAUAGUUAUGAGCCUUAUGUGAAUUUUACAUUUUGAAGAAAGAUUCAUUCCUUUCAAUGUACCUUCAACAUAAAUUUUAUUAUCUUAAAAUCUGAAAAAACUGUCAUCGUUUGAAUUGAUGGGACAAUAGAAGACCAUUUUUUCACACACUAAAGACUCAUCUGUACAAUGCACUUUCAGUCAAAUUACAAAAACAUUCUUGACUUCAUCUAAACUUUACUAAAAUAAGAGAAAGUCUCUAUCUUUACCUGAGGUCUCUCCUUCUUCACCAUUGUCAUUUUCUUCAAGAUAAAGAAGACCUUACAAGCUUUAUUUAACAUACUAAAAAACAAAGCUUCACAAUAUUAUUUGAAAGAAUGAAAUUUAGAACGUUAAUCAUUAUCGAAAUUAGAAAAAGGUAACUUUACGCUCUCUUUUUUCUUACAUUAGUUGUAGUCACUACUUUUAGAAUUUGUAUAGUAAUCUUUCAUCACAUUUUUUUUUUCAUUAUAUUAUUAUUAUGCUAUUAUUAUUGUUUUUUUUCUUAUAAAAUAGUCUAUAGAAUAUUUUUUAAUUUGAUUUAUUUAAAGUUCUCUUAGAAAUCAGUUAACUUCAUUUUUUAUUUUAAUCUGGCCUUUGUGAUUUUUAAUAAGCUAAUCUUGGUAAAUGUCACUAUUUAGUUUUCCAUUCUCAAUGAUUUUUGAAUUAAAUAAACACAUACUUUAUAUUUUAGGUCUUAUGACACCACCUACUGUGCAUCCGGUUUAUUUAUUUCGAGUGUCCUUGUAGGACAGAUUAGUCAUCGUAGUGAAGAUAUUUGAAAUAAUGGCACAUGUGACACAUUGACAUGUCGUCGGUAUGAUGGUGACUUUUGGGACUACAUAAGUAGAAAUCUAUUACAUGAGUGUGCGUGUCGUUACUUGCUCGAUGCUGAAUUUUAUGGUAUAUAUGCAGCUGGACACACGCCACUUGAUCACGCUAUGAUCACUGCGUUGGUAGAAAGAUGACGAUCAGAAACACACACAUUUCAUUUAAACUUUGGAGAGGCCACAAUUACAUUGCAGGACGUAGCUAUAUUAUACGGGUUGUCAGUCGAUGGGUUAUCUAUGACGGAAAUAGAUCUUACCUUGAACCCUAUAGAGUGGCAAGCACGUAUGGUAGAUAUUCUUGGUUGGGCACCGGUAGAUAUUGAUUGAGAAUUUCAGGAUGGUAGAUUGCUUAUGACUUCUUUGAUUAAACAUAUUACAAAUCUUCCUUUGAUUACUGGUAUGACUUGUGAGGUUGAUGUUCAGCAACGGGUACGUUUGUACUUGUUGUGGAUCAUUGGAAGCAUGCUUGCUGUUGACACAUCGGGUAACAAAGUUAAGUUGAUGUAUCUACAUUUGCUUGCAGAUUUAUCCAAAGUUGAUCAAUAUGCUUGGGGUGCAGCAAUACUUGUAAUACUUUAUCGAUAUCUUUGUUGUGCAUCGCAAAAAGGAAUUAGAGUCAUUGGUGAUUUCUUACCUUUACUUCAGGUUAGCUACUUUAAUUUAUUUCCUUAAAGCAAUGCGUUUUUAAUAUUGAUUUAUUGUAUUUAUAUGAAUAUGUGAAUGUAUGGAUAUAUGAAAGGAUUUUGCCUCUCAGGCCUCAGAGAGAUCCUAAUCUCCUAGUUGACGAGUGACUUAUUUUUAUCCUUCCAGAACCACCAUGUGCUCGCGUGUGAUCUAAUGAGUUAUGCCACGAUACAGAAGCACCUCACCUAUUAUAUUUAUUUUGUGAUCAACUAGAUUUACUUAUAAAAUAUCAGGUACUUUUUACUUUUGAAUAAUUGCUUUAUCUAUUUUUUUAAAAAAAAUUAAGUCAUAAAAACUAACUAAAUUUAUAUGUAUAUAGUUUGUGUAGCAGACAUACCGUUCCGAUGUUUUUGCUACAUUAUCAGAUUAUUGUGUGAAUGAUUCCAGUGUUUGGCAUGCUAUUGUACCUGUAAUAGCUUGGGAUGCAGUUGGGUGGCACUAUCAAUAGAGAUGACUGAUCUACAUCUUUUAAAACUUUUUAUACAAGGUUUAAAUUCCCAGAAUACAUAUUUAAAAAUAUUUAUUUUUGAUGUUGAUUCAUCGGCAUGCAUCCAUUCCACUACAGCUCCUGGAUUAAAAUUUUGAAGUGCAUUCAUGUACAUUGGAAGUUGUGUGAACGAGUGAUCAAAGUCACCAUGCCUUUUUGUAGGAAGAUGUAUGUUUUAAUUCAACCUCAACAAUAGUCUGGACAUCUUUUACCUUGAAUUGAGGGUUAUUCCUUAGGAAAGGCAGCAACAAAGAAGCAAUUAAUUUAGAAUCCAAGUUAAAAUGAUCAGCUUGGAUUACACCCAUUUGACAAGUAUGUCUGUCAUAAUAUUUUUCGACAGUUCAUAAAUUUGUUGGUGUUUUUCGACCUAUGAGCAUCCAAUCACAUCCAGAUUCCCACCUCCUGCACUUAACAGUCCAAUAAUUUUUUUUGAAUUCCCACAUAAUGAACUCUCUAUUAUCCUGCAAACUCCAUAUGUUCUUACUAGGAAACAACUACCCAGACUUAAGAUCCGACUCUUUAUCAUUUAACUAAAUUUUACAUUCAGCACCCUCUGAUUCAUGGGUAGAAGCAUACACCUCUCGACAAUCUUGAAAUCAUUCAGAAAUGAAAUGUUCUCCUUAUGAAAUGGUAUGUUUUAUGACACCUCAAUGACUGAUUGUUGAUCAUCGUCAUUAUUAUCACCAGAGUCACUCAUUUCAUCUGACUGAUAUGUAUCAUUCGGAGCAUCACUGUUAGAAUUGUCAUUCGCAUGAGUAUCAACAUAGGCACUGCUAUAAACCAAACGGGAGAGCCCAACCCAAAAAACUAGUCUAAUAGGUGAGAGAACCCAUUUGGCUUAUAAUUUCCUUAGCAUUUCUCUAUUUUUCCAAUGUAGGAUAAUUGGUUCAUAACAAUUGCUUCCGCUUAAGAACCAACGACCUCGUUGGUAACGGCCGGUACCCCCUCUUAGGUCCAAGGCAACCAUUUCUGGAGCACAAAACAUCACUCCAAGUCGUGGCUCCACGCGUGGAUCGAUCCUCGAUGGUCACAGCGGGCACUCCUCUUGGGUCCAAGCCACCAUUACUGGCACACAGGCCAUCACUACGAGUCACGGCCCAACGCGUGACUCCCCACACGUGGAUCGAUCCUCGUUGGUCACGGCUACAUCCAGUUGGUCACGACUGGCAUCCCUCUUGGGUCCAGGCCACCACUCCUAGCGCGCAAGUCACUACUCCGAGUCACGGCCCUACGCGUGAGACUCUCAAUGGAAGCACCAAUGUUAUAAACCAAACGGGAGAGUCCAACCCAAAAGACGUCCAAUAGGUGAGAGAACUCAUUUGGCUUAUAAUCCCCUUAGCAUUUCUCUAUUUUUUCAAUGUGGGACAAUUGGUUCAUAACGGGCACCAAUUUCUAUCCUAGCUUGUAUUUUAGAAACUCUUAAAAUCUCUAAAAUCUGAGAUAAAUUACUAGUUCCUGCACCAUCUCUAAAAUCAUAAUGACGAUUAUUAUCGACAUCAAAAUUUGCACCAAAAUCAGUACAUACAUGUCCAUAAUUAUCAGAUGAAAUAUCAACUUGUGGUGUUAUACUCUGUGAUAAGAAGCUCGUAAAAUUUUAAAAUUCUGAGAAAUUACUAGUCAUAUUUGUAAAUAGUUUAUAAAAAUCAGAAGGGGGGUCAUUAAGAUUCAAAGAGGGCGUAGCAAAAUUUAAAGAGAGAGAAUUCAAAUUAUGUGUAGGUUCAACAAUAUCUAAUGCUUUAAUAUACAUUUCCAACAAAUCAAUUAGAUUCAUCAUAUAACGCACCGUAUCAGGUGCCACCAUAAACUCUUGCAAAGAUUCAUUAUCAAGUAUGGGGAUUUCAAAAUAACAAGCAUUACCCUGUAUAGUUGAAAAUGGCCAUCUACCCGAAAUAACAAGCCUUAUCUCAUUUGGAUUAGUUUUCAUUCUAAUAUGCAAGUUUCUAACUAGCCAAUCAUACUCAAUAUUUAGUGGAAGUUUAACAACUGCACGAGCAACACAACUAUAUCAAACUGUAUCAGAUUCAUAUAUGACAUCGCCGCCCCAAUACAAUGCAACUCUAACACGACACUCAUUCGACAUUUUUAAACCUGUAAAAAUAACUUUAGUUAUUAAUAAAUUAUUUACUCAAUAGGGAGAGCAAUACACUAAGAAAAAAUUACUAAUCUGUUUUACUCCAAUUCAGAUUGAAGGAUACAUCAACUGUAAAGAAAAUAAUUUUUGUUAAUUUAGUAACAUACAUGACAAUGAAGAGGAUGCACGUAUAUAUAUGAAGAAGACACUCUGCAUAAGAGUGUAUUUUUAAUUUGCUGGAAAGUGCAUUGUUGUCCAUGAGUCUUUAGGAUAUGAAAAAGUUAUCCCUUAUUGUCCAAUCAAUUCAGAAAAUGACAACUUUUUUCAGAUUCUUGAACAGUAAAUUUCAUAGAAGGCUCAUGACGAUUAAUGAGCUUUUCUUUAAAAUGUAAAAAAUUUACUGAAGACUCGUGAGAGUACAGCACUUUCAACGUAAGUAUAUUUUAUUGAGAUGAAGAAGGAGACCUCAGGUAAAGAUAGAGAUUUUGUAAAGUUGAAAUGAAGUGAAGAUAAAUAAUUAUUUUUUGGAGAAAACUCUCAAAGGUGUUUUUGUAACUUGACUGAAGGUGCAUUGUAAAGAUGAGUUUUUAGUGUGUGAAAAAUGGUCUUCUCUUGUCCCAUCAAUUCAGACGAUGACAGUUUUUUAGAUUUCGAGAUAAUAAAAUUUAUAUUGAAGGUGCAUUGAAGGAAAUGAGUCUUUCUUCAAAAAUGUAAAAUUCAUGGAAGGCUCAGUACUACCAAUGAGCCUUUCUUUAAAAUGUGAAAGAUUCACUGAAAACUCAUGAAAGUAGAGCACUUUCAGUGUAAAUAUAUUUAACGUUCGUCUGUUUUUUUAACAUAAAAAUUGCACACUGAAGGUGCUCUAUGUCCAUACAUUUUUAUCUUUUUGGUCAUAAAAAAACUGACAAAUUCAUUUAUUGAAAUCGUCCCUUAUUUGACACUAUUUUGAUCCAAUUCUCCCUAAAGUUACUAAUAAGGGCAGUUUAGUUCAAUUGGUGGAAGAAUAGACCUUUUAAACAUCAACUUUUAAUGAUAAAGACAACUGAAAUUAAAUAUUAGAUGGAAUGAGUGUUCUAUUUUCAAUACGUUAAGGGAGUCGUUGGAUAGUUGGUUAAAGGAGUAAGAGUUACUCUAUGUUAUAAAUCUUGCAUGAAUAAUGAUAUUUCUUUAAUCCAAAAUAAUAAAUUUUUGACUCAAUGCACAUUUAUUACGAAAAAAAAUUAGGACAUGAAUUGUAUUUUACUUUUUUGGAUAUUAUCAAACCACUCUUGAAAUUAUUCAGUCACAUUAAAAUAAAGUCAAUUAGAUUAGUCUCUUUAAGAAUGAACAAUUCACUUAUUUUGGAUAUUGAAAAUUAACUCAAAAAAUCAUUUCUUUUCAAUUAGAGGGAGCAAGUUUUAAUGCUAAAAUUAGUUGAAAUUUUUUUUAUAGGAUAAACUUUAAAGUUGAAUGACCUGACAAAUUUACACUAACACUAUAGUUAUAAUAUCAACGUAUGAUCACCGGUAGUUGAUUGUUUUUAUUUAUUUACUUACCCUCCCCCUUUUGUUUUUUGGUAAAUUGAAAAUAUUAUAAUAAUAAUUAAAGAUUACAAGAAGCAGUACGGAUACUACAGUUCCUAGGAUUUUUACCUUCUUUUAUUGAAAAAAUCUCUUAAUUGAUUCGUUGUUUGCCUGUUUAAUUAUGGAAACUAAUGAUCCGUCAGCUUUUAAUUUUGCUGCAUGUUGUUAAUCUCAUUUUGAUCAAAUGAAAUAUUGAGCAAAUGCUAUAAAGAUUCAGAUAAAAUCACGAGGUAACUUUCUCAUCUCUCACUUUUUUUCUUUAAUUUUAUCUUCACUGAAUUUUCAUUCUUUUUGCUCUCUUGAUGAUUCUAUCCCACAAUCAUUGGGGGACCAAAAUUGAAAACUCGUAUUUGUCGAUACGAGGAUUGGUCUUAGUAAACCGUGUCCAUGAUGUCACACUAUUGGGGAUGUACUAAUCAUCCCAUGGGAUACUUCCUUGGUCGUGCAGCUACACUCACUAGGACCUUACAACAGGGGAAGCUGAACCCAUAUAGCCCAUGGGUGGUUUAGGACGAGGUAGAGAAUGCUUACCACCGUCAAAUAAGGAGUAACAACACUAACUUAACAUAAUGGUGAGUAUUAAGUGGUGGAACAAUUUAUAAUUAUGAUGUCUUAAAAAGACGCAAGAAAAUUAAUUGAAUGUUUCAUGUACUUAGUCAGAUACUCUAAAGAUAAAAAUUAGAAUUUUAUCAAUAACCAACUAACCAAAAGUGUCAUUAAGAAUAUUCUUAUAACUAAGAAUAUUGUCGCUUGGUUCGCAACAUAAUUAGUUAUUCUAGGAUUAUUAUUUGACAAAUUUAUUCUAUCUGAGAGGUAGAAUAAAGUGAAAAAAUUACGUGAAGUAAAAAAUAUUAAGUCAUAAAUUAUAAUUACUAGGCGUUGCUAAUAUUUAAAAUAAUUAUCAUUUGCGGCUAAGGUUAGAUUAAAUAGCUAAAUAUGUCUUUCCUUUGUGUACCUCCGGGCUAAUAUAUACAAAUUUCUAAAGAGAAUUUGUAUUUGCAUAUACAAUCUCUAAUUUGUAUAUUUGUCUUGUAAACUAUAGCUACUUCUUAUAACUAGGCAAACUUCAGCUAUAUAUGGCGCCUUUUUUCAUUUAUUACCAAAUUAAGUUUGGAGCAAAAUUUAUAUUAUACUUUGUUUAGUUGAAAAGGUAGAAAUUUAUCCAGGAUCAAAUGUAUGGAAGUGGAUGGGUAUACGAUUUUAGGAAUAAUGUUUCUGUGGUACCAAUUUCAUGUGAAAUUCAAAAGGACAUAUUACCCAAAUUAAGCCUGUUAAGUGGGCCGGGCUAACCCGGCACACUUAAAGGAACCGGUCUGGUUUGACCCAGCCCGAUAAGUCCUAGGGCUUUAAGGUACCGGGCCGAUUAUUUUUUUAAUUUGGGCCCGGUUAACCCUGUUCGAACCAAGCCCGGUUCAGGCUCGGCCCGAAAUCUUUUUUUUUUAAAUAAAAAAAUUUGGGUUUUGGGCCAAACUAGCCGUUUUUGGGUCCAAACAGCUAGUUUGGACCCAUUACUUUUAAAAAAAAAAAUUACUUUAAAAAUUAUUUUUUAAUCCCUAAAAAAAUUUUAUACCCUACACCUUCAAAUCAUUUUUCACACAAUUUUUCACUCUCUCAAAUCUCAAUUCUCAAUUCUCAAAUAUUCAAUAUUUUUAAUUUCUUAAAGUGUUCACUUUAAUUUUUUAAUUUUGUAUUUACAAAGUACGAGCGGAAAUUUCUAAAGUCACAACCUUCGGAUACUUCCAAAAUUUGGCGUUGUCGUUCCAUCUCUUACGUUUAAUUUUUAUUUAUUGUAUUAAUUGUUUAAUAUUUAAUUGUAUUAUAUUUGUGUAUUUUAAAUUUUUUUAGUUUAAUUAUGUAGAAGCUAAGGAAAAUUACGGUAUAGAAGAAAAAAAUGAAGUAGAUGCGGUUAAUUUAAACGAAGAUAAUGAAAAUAUUGGUGAGACACCCGCAGUAGAAAAUGCUAACGUUAGAUCUGAAUCGGUUAAUCUCCCUCCCCGUCCUCCCCGUGCCCCAAGACCUCGUAAAACAAUUAGUGUUGUAUGAAAAUUUUUGAACGUAUAUCAGAUACUGAGGUGCAAUGCAAUAUUUGUCAACAAAUAUAUAAGCAUAGAAGCGGAGGCAAGUAAGGGGGUACGGGUAUGUUAAUGAGACAUAUAAGUGAAGCUCACGAAAGAGAGUUAAAUAUUGCACGAGGUGGUGGGGAUGUUGGUGGGACAACACAAGCUAGAAUGAACCCAACAACCGAUCAGGUAACGAAGAAGUAUAAUAAAUUGAGGGACCGGGAAGAAAUAGCUAAAAUGGUAGCUAUGGGUUAUUUGCCUUUUAGUUUUCCUUCUUCUGAUGCCUUUAUUCAUUAUAUACAAGCAAUUUAUAAUCCUAUGUUUAACGGUAUUCCUAGAAGUACUUGUUGGUCUGAUAUUUUUAGACUUCAUUCACAAUAUUAUUUUUAUUUAUCAACAUUGUUAAAAAAUAUUCAAUGUAGAUUGUCCCUAACUUCUGAUCUUGGGCGUGUUGUAAAUAAAAAUGAUUAUUUAACCGUUACUUGUCACUGGAUGAAUAGUAAUUUUGUGAUGCAAAAAUAUAUUCUUGCUCUUUUAUAUGAUGAAGAUCGUAAACAUACUGGACAGUUUAUUAUUGAUUCUAUUGUUAAAGUUGUUGGAUAUUAUGAUAUCAAAAAUAAAAUUUUAUGUAUUGCUUUUGUUAAUACUUCUAACAGCAAGACUACUAUAAAAAAACUAAAAUCUACGCUAUCUCCGCCAUUGCCUGAAAUUUUUCAUAUUAAGUAUGCAUGUUAUAUAUAUAAUUUAAUUGUAAAAGAUGGUCUUGAUUUUUUUGAGGUUUAUAUUGAAAAAAAUGAUUUUGUUGUUGGUUUUAUUCAAGAAAAUAAUCGUAGAUCGAGAAUUAGAGAAUUUAAAGUUAAAUGUCAAUAAAAUGGACUUACACCGAUAUUGAUGCCUGGGGAAAUUGAUAUUAGAUGGAAUUCUACGUAUGAUUUUUUAAAAACUUGUUAUAAUAUAGAAUUCCUAUUACACUAGCUUUUAACCAACAUUGCGGUUCAUUUGUUAAUUCUGCUGAUUGCAUGCUACAUGAUUUUGAUUGGGUUGUAAUUAUUGAUAUUAUUAAGUUUUUAGAAAAAUUUUAUGUAGCUACAGUUGAAUUUUCCGGUGCUUAUUAUCCUACUGUUUGUAAUAUUUUGGCAUAUAUAGCCAAUAUUUCUGAUUUGCUUAAAGAAUAUAAAAAUAAAGAAGGUUCUAAAGAAGCUGUUGGUGUCAUGUUUACCAAAUUUUAAAAAUAUUUUUUUUCGAUUCCCCCUAUUUACUUGGUUGGUGCUAUGCUAAAUCCGUGCAUGAAAUAUAAUAAUAUGUGUUACUUUAGUACUAUUAUUUAUACUAACGUAGAAAUAAAUAUUAACAAUGAUUCUGAACAAGUACAACCUGAUUUGCGGACGGCUAUGAGUGAUGCAAAUGAAUACAUAGAAAAAUUAUAUAAUCACUAUAUUGAUUUAUUUGAUUUAGCCGUACCUACAAAUAUCACUCCAACUGUCGCUCCUCAUCCUCCCGAGGAGCCAUCAUCUUUUAAAAGACCGGCACAUAAUGGUUUUUCUGAUUCUUUUUAUGAUUUAACUUGUUGAAACAGUGUUGAUGAGAGAGCUUACACAUCAACUUAUCGGGAAGAAUUGAAAUAUUAUCUUCGAUUGCUGCCAGAGGAUCGCAGACUACGAAUCAACACGUUGGAUUGGUGGAGGAGUAAUGAAACACAAUAUCUUGUGCUUUCAAGAUUAGCUAGAGAUAUCUUGAAUGUUCCAAUGUCAACCGUUGCAUCAGAGAGCGCCUUUAGUCAGGGACGAAGCAGCUUGGGAGACAACCNNNNNNNNNNNNNNNNNNNNNNNNNNNNNNNNNNNNNNNNNNNNNNNNNNNNNNNNNNNNNNNNNNNNNNNNNNNNNNNNNNNNNNNNNNNNNNNNNNNNNNNNNNNNNNNNNNNNNNNNNNNNNNNNNNNNNNNNNNNNNNNNNNNNNNNNNNNNNNNNNNNNNNNNNNNNNNNNNNNNNNNNNNNNNNNNNNNNNNNNNNNNNNNNNNNNNNNNNNNNNNNNNNNNNNNNNNNNNNNNNNNNNNNNNNNNNNNNNNNNNNNNNNNNNNNNNNNNNNNNNNNNNNNNNNNNNNNNNNNNNNNNNNNNNNNNNNNNNNNNNNNNNNNNNNNNNNNNNNNNNNNNNNNNNNNNNNNNNNNNNNNNNNNNNNNNNNNNNNNNNNNNNNNNNNNNNNNNNNNNNNNNNNNNNNNNNNNNNNNNNNNNNNNNNNNNNNNNNNNNNNNNNNNNNNNNNNNNNNNNNNNNNNNNNNNNNNNNNNNNNNNNNNNNNNNNNNNNNNNNNNNNNNNNNNNNNNNNNNNNNNNNNNNNNNNNNNNNNNNNNNNNNNNNNNNNNNNNNNNNNNNNNNNNNNNNNNNNNNNNNNNNNNNNNNNNNNNNNNNNNNNNNNNNNNNNNNNNNNNNNNNNNNNNNNNNNNNNNNNNNNNNNNNNNNNNNNNNNNNNNNNNNNNNNNNNNNNNNNNNNNNNNNNNNNNNNNNNNNNNNNNNNNNNNNNNNNNNNNNNNNNNNNNNNNNNNNNNNNNNNNNNNNNNNNNNNNNNNNNNNNNNNNNNNNNNNNNNNNNNNNNNNNNNNNNNNNNNNNNNNNNNNNNNNNNNNNNNNNNNNNNNNNNNNNNNNNNNNNNNNNNNNNNNNNNNNNNNNNNNNNNNNNNNNNNNNNNNNNNNNNNNNNNNNNNNNNNNNNNNNNNNNNNNNNNNNNNNNNNNNNNNNNNNNNNNNNNNNNNNNNNNNNNNNNNNNNNNNNNNNNNNNNNNNNNNNNNNNNNNNNNUGUGUAUAUAUCUUCUAUAGACGUGUAUAUUUAACAUAUACAUGUGUAUAUACUUUAUAAGUUAGUAUAUAACUAUAUACAUAUAUAUAUUGUAGUAUAUUUUAUUUAGACUUUAAAGUAGUACAUAUAUAUUGAAUGGUGCGUAUAUAUGUGUAAUUGUGUAUAUGUGUAUAUAUUUUUUAAAUUCUAAUGUAGUAUAUACUAUAUAUAUAGUGUAUAUAUAUUGUUUAACGUAUUUAUAAUGUAUAUAGGUGGGUAUAUAUAAUGUAUAUUGAAAAAAAAAAUUAUAUAUUUUUGACCGGGUUUAACCGAUUUUUUAGUUGGGUUUGACGGGGUUUAGGUGGGUUUGACCAGGUUGGGUUAAGUGGGCCGGGUUAGGAUUGUUUUUAAUUUUUUUACUGUUGAGCCUGGCCCACUUAGACCCCCCACAACCUGGUUAAUUCAAACAGGCCGAUUCCGAGUUGGUCUAGCCCAGCGCACAUGACAGCCUUAACCCAAAUACUUGCAGCCUUAACAUGCCAUUUCACAAAUAAAUGAGUUAUAGUAGCAGCAUCUAUGCAUGUGCACAACUUCCAUAUUUUGCUCGCUUUCUCAUUAAUUUCAGGUGGACCAUAGUAAGACAUUUCUGUUAAUUAGAAAUAUAUAGCUCACAUAGAAUAAUGAAGAUGGACCACUUGUUUUUUACCAGUCCCUUCAAGCUCUGGUAUAGGAAUAUAUAUGGAUACCUCUGCCUAGCUAGCGGCAUGAGAGUGGCUUAUAUAUGCAGAAUUUUACUUGAUACAAACCUGAUUGAUUAAAACUCAGUAACGUUAAUCUAAAUUAUGUAUAUUUGUUGAGAAAUUUAUCGAAUUUGUACGUAAGAUAAACUUCAAAGUGCAUAAACCUCAAAUCAGUAACUCAUUAACUUUAAAUUUUGAAUUCGCCCUUGAACAUGAAGUGAUGCCGGACAUAUAAAAAAUCUCUGAGCACAUCCAAAGCAGUAACUAAUGACAGUCUCAACUUCAAUUGAAUUAAGAUGCUUUAGUGCUCUUUAAAGAAACGAAGUUUGUGAGAAAGAUUCAGUGUAACUAGAUCUGGAUUCGUGGUUUAUAUUUCAUAUAAAUGUCAUAUUCUUAUCCAUUAAUAAAUAGUUUUAACUUUAAUUUGUGAAAAAGAGUUGUUGUGAUAAUUUCGGAAGGAUUAUGAUGGGAAUGCCAAUUGUAACGAAUUAUGAUUUUACUAACUCAGGAGUUGUUAAUCCAUUUUAUGUGCUUAAACGAACAUUUCAUAUUUUGAACCAGCAACAAAAACACAAGAUUUUGCUAGUUUUGAAAAAUUGUUAAAGUGGAAAUGUGGAAUCACUAGGUAGGCCUUUACCCCUUUCUAGACAAUUUAUUUCUUUAAGAACUUCCCUUUAUUGUCAAAAGGAAACCUCAACCAUCAAUAGAGAAUUACAGAAAUAGCCUCUUGUGUUUAAAGGUUAAUGUUAAAUAUUCUUGACAAAUUUUACAUGUUCUUUAUGUUUCAUUAGCAGCAUUAAUUAAGAAGUGUACAUUGGAAGGAUAAUUUUAGAUUAGGACAAAGUUAGAGUUAUAUAUUCCUCUAAUUUCUCCUGGUGAAACACGACAUUAGUGUAAUUUCGUUUAAAAUGUUUAACGGGAAUUCAUAAAAGCUGUUUCAUAGUGGAACUUUUCCUCUUACUAAAAGAUGUACUGUAUAUCUGUUGAUCUUCUCUAUGACUAUAUAUACUGUGUGAUUGAUUAAUUGUGUGCUUUUAAUCGAUUGUUCAUUUCUUAUAAUAGCUAUUAUAUCUAUUUUAUUUUAUGUGUCACUAUUUGAUGUUGUAUAGCUACAUCAACGUUAAAGCAUAUCUUGGACUUGGAGCGCACUUUCUAAAAAUCUUCCUCUUUUUUUUCUUAGCUCAGUCAAAUACUAUACCACAUUAUAUGUGACGAAAAGAGUAUUUUUUUUUUUUUGGGCAGUAGGAGCUUGAAGUACGAUAGUGCACUUGCAUGUACCAUCAAAUACUUCAUGAACUCUCUUAGCUUCUCCUCCUCCGUGGGUCAAAAGAAAAAGGACAGUUAUGGCAGUUGGUUCAUGAUGAAUGGAACUUGAUCACUUACUCAAUUGGGCAAUAUUUUGUACCAAUAUUGGAAGUUAUUUAUGUUUGGAAAUGAAUUUCACUUACAAAAAAUAUUUACAAGUGAAGACUAAUAUUUUACCUGAAAUUAAAUACCCAGCAAAAUAGCUUUUAAAUAUUUCACGAUUACUGAAAUUCAGUACUAUUUGCACUUAUUACCAAACUUUUCAGUAUGCAAUAAUAAUAUGCUAUAUAGAAACGUUCCAUCCCAACUAAUGCAUCUUAAUCAAACACAAAUGGACAAUAUAUUAUAUAUAAUAGUAUAUCAAUAAGCACAAUAAUUACCCUUAUAAAUUCUAGUAGUUAGAUUACAAUAGAAAAGCAUAAUAAUAAGCCAAAAUACAUCAAUAAGCAUAUAGGAAAAGGAUCCCAACUUGGUAUCCUUUUGAUCCUACUCCCAUUUUCCUUGCACUUGCUUGGUCUUACGUACCCAUUUUCACUUACUAAUUUUCUAUCACAAUCAUCAAUAUUUUCAUCAUGUUCAGUAUUAUUAUUCAACAAAGAAAGCCUAAGCCUCCCGUCAACGCGUUCUGCUUUGAAGUAAGGCUUAGGAGCACUGACAGUCGUGGCUUUCAAGAUCAAACGUCCACCUUCGCGGUGAGGCCUCAUCACUUGGACACCAUUCGUUCGACUAAGGGAAGGCAUAGGAGGAGGAAAACUAGUUGUUAUCCUGUCACGUUUUUUGCCUAGCUCCUUACAUUUGGAUCGCGGAGCUAGAUGUGAAUUAUUAUUCUCGCUUUCUGAUAAGAAAAACGAGUGUUCCUCAAUGCUUUCGCUAAUGUCACUGCCUGUUUCGCUCCCUAAGCUCUCAGUACACAUCUCCAAGCUUUUGAUGCUAAGGGUGUUAGAAGAGCGCUUCACCGUAGGGUGAACGUACUCUUCUUUCUCUUCAUAAUCAUCUUUUUUCGGGUUAGAAAGAUCUUGUAUGAAACUCCAACCACCAAUACUGUUAUCAACAUUGCUGUGCUGCUCAGACAAUCCAUCAUCUCCUGUUUCUGUCUUUUUCAAAGACGUAUUAGAUUGGGAAAAAAUUAAUCUAGGAGGACAUGAUUUGCUUAUUAGAAAAUAAUGUUGGUGAGGUAGUUGUGGCUCCAUGCAGGAUUGCAAACCCUGAUAGAAAGUUGAGGUUGAGCCCAUGUUGUUGUUGUUGUCUUUGAACAAAUACUAUGAAACAGAGGAACAAAACAGAAGAUUUUUUUACUAAUUAUAAUUUACGUACGUACGUUUAGAAUGAGGAUAAAGAUUCUUACUCAGUACGAUGAUAGUGAAAGAAUAGAGGAUUGGCUCUACUACUUCACUAGUUUAAUAUUAAUAACCAAAAAGUAUUGGAAUUAAGUAAUAGAGGAAGAAGCAAAUUAGAGUGAUAGAAUGGAAGAGAAGUGAAAGGGCUAGGGUUGAAUUUAUAGAAACAAAAAAGUAGUAACCAACUUGAGAAUAGUCAAGUGGUUAAGAAUUUUACUUUUGUUUUCAAUUUAAGUGGGUAAGUAUGGGUAAUUGGUCUCUUUAUAUGAUUUGGAAAAUCCUUCCCUCAUGAGUUAGUUUUUGAGGUUGAGUUAAGCUCAAAAUCUAUUCUUUACAUGGUAUUAGAGUCAGCCACAUCCCAAGUCUUUGUUCACCAAUAUUGGGCCCCCAUAUCAUAUUGUACACGCUCCAGUUAACAAGAUCUGGGCAUGUGGGGGAGUGUUUAAGUAUCCCACAUCGAAAGAGGGAUCGGUAAUUAGUCUCAAUCCUCCCCUCACGAGCUAGCUCACGCUCCAGUUAACAAGGUUUGAGCCUCACGAGCUAACUUUUGAGAUUGAGUUAGGCCCAAGAUCCAUGAUCUUUACAGUGUUUAGACUAGACUGAGCGUUUAAGAAAAAGAAAGAUUUUUAGAACUUACAAUAUUAAAUAGUAUGAUACGAUAGUUAUAUGGUAGUAAAAUGUGUUAUUACAAAAUAAAAAAAUUAAAUUAAAUCAUUUUCAAAUGUGAAAUAUAUCAUUUUAUUUGAAAUAAAUUGUGGUUAUGAGUUCCAAAUUUUAAUUAUGAUCAUGGAAUUCCUUUUGGAUUGUCUAUAUUCCUACCUAUGGAAAAGCUAAAAAAAUAAAAAUGUUUGGCUAUAGUUGUGAGAGAGGUAGAUAGGAUGAUGGAAAGAGUAGGAACAGACUUGAUGCCACCGAAUUAUUUAGCUUUGGAUUUAAGUUAUAUAUGCAUGCAUAAUGUAAAAGAAUUUUUACAUCAUCAAAUUUUAAUUAUUUUUCUAUUUCAAGUUACCUGGCACACUUCAAUUUUUGAGACAGUAAAUCAGAUAUAAAAGUCUUAAAAAAAAAUUUACAUCUUUUAAAACUAUAUAAAAUUAAAUAAUGCUUACAUAAAUUAGAACGAAAACUAUGGGUCAUUUUUAUAUGUUAUCUUCAUAUUUUCUAAAUCUAUAUCUAUAUCUAUAAUGUAUUAAAAGUGUGAAUACCCUUAGAAAAGUGAUUUGAAUUUUUUGUCCUUCGUUAAAAGUUUCCACAAUUGAUAAAAUGGUCAUUUUACUAUUUUUAUAGAAUUAUUAUUUAAUUAUAUUUAUUAUAUUCUAAAUAAGUAGUCCUAAAAUAUAUGGUAAGUUUUAAAAAGUAAGGGGUAUUAAAAUAUAUGAUACAACACCAUAUAUGGUAAACACAAUCUAUGGUAUGAAUUAUUAGAAAAUUAAAAAUUGUUGAAUACUAAAAUAUAUGGAAAAAAGAGACGAAAAUCUUGAGAAAAAAGGUACACGGUUUUUAAGAUCAAAGUACACCUUAAUGACUAAGUAGAUUGUUCCUUUUUCCCCAUGUAAUUAUCCUUAAAUUUUUGGGUAAAUAUUUUUUAAUAAUUAAUAAUAUUAUUAACUUCUUAAGAUUUGAUUAUUUAUUCUAUGUAAGAAAUCAUAAUAUUUAAUACUUCUAAAUUAAUUAAAAUUUUAUCUUAUAUAAAAAAAAUUGUGCAAUCCUAUUUAAGCAAUAUUUUGAAUUAAAAUUUACAAGAAACUUAUUCUACUUCACUUUUUCCUCUUAUUUUGAUUUUAAUUUCAAUUAUCUUGUUGCAUUUAUAUUUAUAAUCUUUUGUUCUUGUAUGCAACAUAGUCAAAUUAAUUUUAAUGUGGGAACUAAAUUUUUUUUCUUUUAAGUUUUACUUGAAUUGAUUUUUUUUUAUCUGAGUUAUUAGUAUGAAUAAGUUGUUUUUUCUUUGUAAAAUUAUUACCUUGUUCAAUUAAUAUAUGAAUAAAUCUAUAUAAAUCAUUAUUAAUUAAUUCUUUAAUAUUUUUGUAGAGGAGAAGAAGGAUUCACGAGGAGCAUGAUAUUGGGACUUCUUCGAUUUGACUUAAAGAAUCUCAAUUCCAACAGGAACGUAUUAAAAAUAUAAUAUAUGUAUAUGAAAGAAAGAUAUGCUAUCACGGACAUGCGAAAAUUAGCUAGUAAGAUGCAGUUUCAAAUAUCUGAAGAAAGCUCCUAGGUUAAGCUAGAAGUGUCAAGUGACGUGUAUUAGUUGGUCAGAGCCUUGCUACCAAAAUAACAAAGAAAUUCAAGGAGAAGAGUUAUGAAAGUUAUAGUGGUGUCACCUCAGUCCUCAGGCUUGACUUCAGGUUUGAUCUUCUUCCUAUACAAGUACACUAUCCUUUUUUUAAUUAUUUAUUGGUGUUUUAUUUUUGUCGCACAACUAUUAUACUCGAGAUUCUAUGAGGUAUUGCAUCUGAAGUUAGAAAGUUGAGUUGUUAUGUUUCAGGUUAUGUUUUUUGGUAAUUUGUGCAUCUGCUUUAUGACUAUUCAAACUUAUAAGUUGUUCUUUUGCCUCUUUUUUUUUUUUUACUUAUCGGUUUAGGAUUUUUCGAAAGUCAACGCUUUCUAGCUAAAUUAUUGAGAAAAUGAUGGCUUUAGAUUGGAGUAGUAACUAUUAAAUCAUUAUUGUUAUAAAUUUUUUAUAUGUAUUUAUGUUUUUUGGUGGUUUUGUUUAUCACAAGUAUAAAAGUGCAUUAACAAUUAUUUUUGAAAAAGAGUCUGCAAAUACAUAGAAAGGAAUUUAAGUUUUUUAAGAGAUAUUUGGCCAUGAAAAUAUUUUCUUUUUUGGAGUUGAAUUUCAAAAUAAAAUUUUAAAAUGUUGAUGUUUUUUAGCAACUAAUAAAUAUGAUUGGGAUCCAUGUCAACUCUCAUUACCAAGGAAGGAAAAAUCUAAAUUGAUUGAUUGAUCAAAUAAAUUAUUGAUGGACUAACUAAGUUGAUUAUUGAGUGACAUGAACAAGACUUGAUUUAGCAUUGUCGCAAAUCAACUUUCUUCGUCAUUGGAAAUUUCACUAUUAUUAUUCCAUUUUCUAUCGUAGUUUUCUAUUUAUUUCUUUUAUCUUAUUUAUUUUCAUUAGUUGAUGAAAUUUAGCGCUAAUUAAAAACUCUUUACGUUUAUCUGUUUAUCUCUAUAAUAGUCUAAAUGUGCAAAGGUAAAUUAAUAAUUUCAAAAUUUAAGAAGUGAAACAUUUCAGCCAUAAAUCUAUUCAUGGUAAAGUUUUUAUGUGAAAUUUACUGAAAAGAACAAGUGGACCAAAUAUUUAAUGUCUAAAAAGAAUCUUUUUAUGCAUAGAGAAAUCUUUGAAUAGAAUUAUAAUAUCUUAACUAAAUAUUUAAAUAUAAUUAUAACUAAACUAGCUAAUAAUUCAUUAAAAAAUAUUAAACUAAAGUUAACUAAUAUUAAUUAAACACUCAAAAAGGUAGAAGGAAUAUUUUGAAUAUAAUUAUAGCUAUUAUUUACACGUAGCAUGAGCCGAUAUUUUAAAAAAUGAAAUAAAAAAAAUUAUUUAUAAGAAUAGUCAUUUGAUUAUUUUUCUAAUAAUUAUACACAACUAUUUUAAAAAAUAUUUAGCACUUUAAUUUUUUAAUAAUUUUUUGUUUAUAAUUCCUCCAUAUCCUAAUUAACUACAAAAAUCAACUGAAACUUUGUUAGAAAUAUUAAAUUUCAAUAACUUUCAGUUUACCCUAGGAAAGUUUCAACUGAUUGUAUUAUCCUUUUAGGUUCGUAUGACGUUUUAUUUUUUUUACUAAAAUUUUAUCUUAUUAAUAUAUAUAAUUAUAUGCAAAAUACAACUUUCUUACAAAAUAUUAACAAAAUGACAUUCACAUUUUUUAUUUUUUUGUAACUUUUAACUUAGUAACUUAAGACCGGUGAAUAAAGCAUUAACUAUAGAAAAUCGACGGAGGAAAAAAAAAACAAAGAGUUAAAACACUCAAGUUUUUGUAGAUACAAAAUUUUAAAGUUAUAUGUUCUAUUGAUUUUCUUAUCAUUUUUUAAAAAUAGAAAGAGAUAGAAAGAAUUAUGAUUGACAAGAGUAAACAUCAAUAUCUUUAUUUAAAACUUUGAAAGUUCAGAAAUAUUUAUUUAUUUUUAUUUUUUUUAUACAUGCAAUUUUCUUUUUUAGCAUUGAAUACAUGUAUAACGCACGUAUACUAAACUAGUUACAAUAAAAUUUUCUAUGCGGAAUUACUAUAUUAAUAUUUGUAUUAUAAGUUUACUUAAUGUGAGGGUGUACGAGAUGUACGUAGGAAAGGUACAAGCAAAAGUCGAAAUAAGAUGGUCAUUGCUUCUCUUUCGUGCUUUCGCUUUUUCCCUUUCCUUUUUUUUUUUAAAAAAAAAAAUUAUUGUAGGUAGAAAACAUAGAUAUUGGCUCUUUAGUAGUGGCAGGAUUAGGGUGGUUGAUAUGAGCUAUAAGAUAUAAUAAUUUUAAGAUAAAAUGUAAAAUUAUUUUAGUUUAUAUUUGAAUGAAGGUAUUAGCUAGUCUCACGAUUAUUUAUCUCACUACUUAUAUGUUAAUGAUGGGAUAAGCUAUUCUAUAUACUUGAUUGAAAAAACUAAUUCAAAAUUAUUUAUUCCCGUAUAACUUAUUUCCAACCAAAUGAUCCUAAGUAUCUGCGGAUUUAAUCGGUGCUUGACCAUGAAUAUUAUUUAUAACAUUUCGAAAUAUGUUUUCAAUUUAUUUCAAACAUUUGUUUGGCCAUAAAUAUUUUGAAAUACGUUUUCACAAUUUAUGCAUUUUUUAAAAGCACCUCAAGAGGUGUUUUCACUAUUUUUGGAUUCAGGUUUUGCACUUUUAAAUUUAUUUUUUUUUUCAAAAAAACAAUCUAAUUUUUUUCGUAAAAUAACCCAAUUUUCAUAAAAUUCUAUUAAAAAAAAAGAUAAUUUUAUUUUUACUUUUUAUAUUCUUUUAACUUUCAAAAAUAUCUCAUUUCUAGAAUAUUAUGGUCAAACAUAAUUCCAACUUUAUUUUUAACUUCAAAAAUAUCAAAUAAAGUGAAUUUUGUUUUUAUUUUUCAUGGUCAAAUGAAUCCUUAGCUGAACUCGGUAAUUUUAUUUAAAUUCAUUGACAUAUUAAAAUAUGUGCAUAACCAAAUCAUUUUAAAGGUAAUUAUAGACAUAUCGCUUCUUUGUAAUGCGUAAAACAAAUAAAAGAAUCAUUACAUAAACAAAAUUGAAGAAUCAAGAAAGCAUUUUUCUUAAGUAUACAUUAUUUCAAUAUGUUGUCAAAUGUCUUUUAAACCAAUCGAGCACAUAAUAACCUCUUUAACACAUGCCCCGCCAAAAAAAAGUUAGGAGUUUUAAAAUAUUUUCUUAAAGGACACACAAACAUUAAAUUACAUAAAAAAUAAAAGGUACCAUAUUACUGAACAAAUGGAUCAUAAUUAUUCUUCUUUUCAUUUUCUCCUUAUUCUUCUACUCUUCUUUUCUCUUUAAUUAUUUUUUAAAAAAGAAUUUUACACAUGCUAAACAGAAUUUUGUGCCCUGUCUGGGGCACACCACACACACAAACAAAAAACAACAUAAACUGCUUUAUGUUUAUAGAAACGUGCAGCAGCUCGAAGAAAAUCAACACUUGUUAAAAAGACUAGUAUGAUUAUGACUAAACUUUAAUUAUAAAAUCACCACAUGUCAGAAAACUACUAUGAUUGUGAUUAAGAUUAUUUUAAAAGCUAGUAGGUUCUUUAGAAUUAGGUGCCACAAAAGGAUGAUCUGAUUAAUAACACAUUAUCUGGUUGGCUCAUUAAUAUACAGUACUUAACCUAUAAGGAGCAGGCAAUUUUCUUUAUCUCUCAUUCAGUGCUUUGUUUCUUAUUUUUCCUUAACCUUUUUGUCCAGUACACUGUACCUAAUCUAAUCAGUCUUUGGUUCUAGAAAUUUAUCAUCACAAGUGUUUGUAUGGUAAUGUUUCAAAGGCGAAUUCAUGAUUUAAAUCGUAAAUAAAAUUAUACACGCUAUUCUUUAAUUUUGUGACUAGAGCAAAACUUAAUUAGUAUUGAUAUUAUUCUUCGAAAGAAAAAAAGAAUUCAUAUCAUAUAUGGACUCCCUCCGUUUUAUAUUAGUUUAACCUUAUUGACUUGGUAGUUGGCAUAUCCCUUAAAAUACUUUUUAUUAUAGAUGCAUUUUAUUAAACUAACGUUAUUAAUGAUGUUUUGAAAGUCAAAAUUUGACCACUAUUAUUUUAUGCAACUAUUUUUAUACUAUAUGGCUAGUAUUGGGGGAGAAAAAUACUAAAACUCUCUUGUUUUGUUAAAAUAGACAAGUAUAAUGAAGCAUCUAUUUUGAUACACAUAGGGGCCAAAUAAAAUAAAACGCGGGAAUACAAAAGUUUUAGUGGAAAGCAAAUCUGCACUCACUGUGUACAUUAAUUCAUCUAAGUUUGAUUUGUGCUUGUGUUUACACUCAAGUGGUACAUUACGUGUACUACCAUUGCUUUUACAAUCUUGACCUCGAACCAUAUAAUAACAAAAGGAAAAAAAAAAAAAAGAAAUAGAGAGCAAUAUGAUUAUCGUGAGGACCUUGGAACAGGAACGUCACCCUUUAUUUGUUAGUACUUGGUAUAUGUCCAUAUGAUAAAGUGCUGCUUGUUUAGAAGAGGACAUUAUUACUGUACUUGAAAAUGAUGUUACUUCAAUAACUUGUAGAUUUGGAAUAGAAAUUAUAUGUCCCUGCCAAAAAUAAAGGAAAAGAUUUCAAAAGAGAGGGGUGGAGAUUAAACUGCAAAAAAACAAGGUAAAUCUGGUCAUAUAAUUUCCAAUUUAUUUGCAAUUAUUUACCUUAUUCACUUGAUUAUUACCAGCUUGUAUAUGUAAUAUUAUGACAUUAAUGAUCCUGAUUCUUUGUUGUUGGAUCUAUUGUACUUGAGCUGAGGAUCUUUCAGAAUUAAAUAUCUCCACGAGGUAGUGAUAUGUGGUCUGCAUACAUUCUACCCUUCCCAAAUCUUAUCCUACUUGUGUAUGAAAUUUACAAUCCAAUAUACUUUUCUUGGUUGUAAGAUCAUUAUUAAAUAAUUAUAGAGAGGUUCAAGAAAGAAUAAAUAAGUGGUACUAAGAAACAAAAAAUAACCGGCAAACGUAAAAUUACUAGAUCACGGUUCUACAACUAAAUGACAAGAUAAUCUGCCUUUUUGAUAUUUGCUACUGAUUCAUUUUCUUUAGAGAUUUGUCUCAUAUUAGCCGACCAUUGCUUAAUAUACUUUCCUAAAGCCUCAUUAUUGUUAAAAAGAAUUUGGAAUACGAAAAAAUAUCCUUAUAUUUAUGAUUUUAAAAAUGAAAUGUUAUUUCAAAGACCGUAAAAACAUGUUACUUAGUAAAGUGUAAGGUAAAAUGUGAAGUUUGAAGUUUAGUAAAUUCACAAAAAGAUAUUGAACGUGUCACUCGUUUUUAAAUAGACUAAAGAAGAAUGAGUGUCACAUGAAAUUGAACAGUUACAAGGCUCACCAUCACAUGGAGUGUAUGUGUUUUACUAUGGACACAGCACAUUAUGUGAAAGGUCUGGUUACACUGAUAACCCUUUACAUGAUAUGGUAGCAAUAGACUUGCUUCCCUUUAUGCACCUGCUCUGCAUUUCAUUUCACAUAUGCAGAGAAUUUGAACAUAGAUUUCAGUCGAAUAUCGUCUAAUUUACUGGACUUGGAGCGUACUGAUAUACAUGACAAUAUACAUCACCAACUCAGCACCUCCAUAUAGGAGGUAGAGAACUAAAGUUGGAAUGUUUCGGCCAAGUCCAGCUAAUGGAAUUGUAGCCAAACUAUGAUUUAGUUGUCUGCAGAUAAAAGUUACAACCCACAAUUAAGAACCUAAGUCGUCAUUUCUGUAUGAUUUAGCUUGUCUGUCAUUAAUGGAACUCAAGAACCAAUUACACCAUACGUAGCUUCAUUGAAUAGGUCCGGUGAUAUAUAGCUUUCUAGCUUGCAAGCAUUUCUGAACCACCCCAAAGUUCACAUGAAAGAUGCAACAGCUUCCUGGGUUUUUCCCGUCUAAGAACUGAAAUGUUGAUUUAGAGAAGCUUCCAAGAACUUUCCAUAACUUUAAGUGACAUACAUGAAAGCACAAGAAGGAGGUCUGAAUCGCACACGUCUACCUGGGUGGCCGCUCUAGUGCUAUCCAACCAAAUUUCCCUUUCCGGAAAUCUUGCAAGAUACGAAAUGCUGCUUGGUUAUUGUCUGCAUUAAAUAACUGAACAGCGAGCUUCUGAACAAAUCUGCAACAAAAACAAACGAAGAUCAAAAUGGAACUAUGGAACAAACCCUACAGGGGAACCCAUUAUUCCAGUUGCAUCCCUUGGGUAUAAUUUGUCAUACGCACAUUUUACCGCAGCAUCCAUCUGCCUCAAUCUUGUAGCGGUCACAAAGAGCUUUAUUACCUGGUCAGAGUGACUUAUGUCAGAAAAAUAUAAUGCUGCAUGCAUACAAGCAGAUUAAAAUGAACUACUGUAUUUAGGGGCAGCUAGUCUCUAAUGCAAAUGGAUGGUUACAUGCGAAAGGCUCAAAGUGCAUUCUGAGGUACAAUAAAGAACUAUCAAAAUGAGUAGCUAAUCUUCUCAUAUAAAUAAGAUCCAGUAAUGAAUAUAGUAUCUUCAGCAACGUCUUACCAACAAGAAAUCUACCUACAAGAGUGAAUAGCAUGUGCUAAAAUGACUGAAGUCUUGAAUAUUUCAAGCGGCAGAGCAGUAUAUCUGAAAGACAGGAAACAUACCAACAGUUGGAAGCCUUGAAAGCAUCUGUACAAGAAUGGCUGCAACAUCUAAGGCAUCAUAAGAUCUCUCUCCAAUAUCAUCACAAAUGGCAAGCUUUAUUGCUGCUGUCUGAUCGCUGAUCCUCAUAGGAAUUAUGCCAGGUGAAUCCAGUAGCUCUAGAUCUUUCCCAAAGCGGACCCACCUUUUAAAAAAGUUGCAGUGGAAAAUUAAAAGGUAGAAGUCUUUAAAAGCUAAUUUAGUCUUUUAAAAUUAUAUUGACAAUAGCCUCCUUUCUUGCAUAACAAUUACAUGGAUCUAACUAUGGUGAAAAUCUUCACUCAGUACCACUUGCAAAUUAAUAUUUUCAAAUAGAUUGCUAUAUAUUAAAAUGGUAUUCCUAUCAAUUUCUAUGUAAUGCUUAAUUCUAAAGUGACUGGAAAAUCAAAGUGAUUCACAAGGAGUCGGAAUGAGAUGGUGAAAUAGACUAAUAGAGAAGAAGUUACAACCCUGUCACCCCUUUGUCACUUAAAAGUAAAGAAGAGAUACGUGCUUUGGAAUCAAAAUUUUGUGGGAUUUUUCAUGGAAUCAAAUAGUGAAUGAACUUGCCUUAUUUUAGAAGAAAAAAAAAAAAAAAAAAAAAAAAAAAAAAAAAAAAAAAAGAGUAAGGAGCUAUGCACAUACUUCAGCUCUCUGGUAACACCUGGUCUUGGGGCUGCAGGACACAUCCGACGUUUCAGCAAACGGUUAACCAGAGAUGACUUACCAACAUUUGGAUACCCGACUACACCAGCUCGAACCUAUCAAACAUAUAAAAUUUCUCACUCAGAAAAAACUAACACGGGAGAAGCAGACAUGAAGUCCACUAUGCUAACUAGGGGUUUGUUCCAUAAUUUUGUCAUUUCAUCAACUAGUGAACCAAACAAGAAUUUGCUAUCCUGUUACAUAAUCUCCACAUAUUGUCCAUCAGUACAUGGGUAUAAGAUUAUGGCAGCAGAAAAUUCUCUUAUCCCCUGGUGUACAUUCAAACCCAAAUUAUUAGACGGUGAAACUAUGAAGUUCGUCAAUGAACCCCUUGCAUUUCUUUUAUAUCACAGUAGAUGCUUCCAAUUUUCUUCAUGUAAAUGUGAAGAUGACAUAUUAAAUACAAUAUCACAAUUAGAGUGCUACCAUUAGUCAUGAUCCAACUGACUUUGGUGGUUGGACUGAAAGAAAUUAUUGGUACUUGAAAACUGAAAUGUGCUCACACAGAUCUACAGUUUAAUCUGACAGUCUAUAUGUAAAUGAUGAAGACAUAUCAAUACAAAAAUAAGAAUUAGACUGGAAACAUCUGUGACAAACCAACUGAAUUUGAAGGAUUGAAAGUAAGAACUCAUUUAAUAAGUUCUAUUUUUCUUGACAACUGCAAUUAGCUUAUGAUAGAUCUACAGUCUAAAGGCAUGGAUGAUAUGACCAAUUAUCAAUCUUAA
This 58364-nucleotide long non-coding RNA is filed under the name Capsicum annuum. RNAcentral's name for it is "long non-coding RNA (CANN_LNC009068)". The record is from RNAcentral. Lineage: Eukaryota; Viridiplantae; Streptophyta; Magnoliopsida; Solanales; Solanaceae.